RNAcentral lists this long non-coding RNA (47981 nucleotides) under Populus tremula. RNAcentral's name for it is "long non-coding RNA (PTRE_LNC001357)". The stretch from base 8050 to 8203 matches the Rfam family "MIR2912 microRNA precursor family". The record is from RNAcentral. Lineage: Eukaryota; Viridiplantae; Streptophyta; Magnoliopsida; Malpighiales; Salicaceae.
AACUGACAGAAAUGAAGCCUAACAAGAUAGGUGAAUCUGGAGUGGACCGGAAACUCCCACGUCAUAUUGUAUUUCUCACUACUUACAGUGGAAUUGGGCCCCAUGGUCCUAGCAGUUCGAUAGAGUUCGUCAGGUGCAGAAUAGCGAGUGUGGUUAUUUUACUGAAGUUGAAUAGUGUCAUUAAUAAAUUGAAAAGCGCUUGGUCGAGCAUCCGUCAAGUAAUCAACAUCGCUUAACCAACUUCGAUACAUGCCACAUUUACUCGGUACAUGAUCUCUAAAGCAGUUUCAUUUUGAAGGGGAAGAUAGACCCCCUGGUCAAAAUUAUACAGCUCUGGGUUAUCUCCUGCAGUGUAAUAAAGAUUGGUGGGCAUGGAUACGAUUUCAAUCCCGUUGAUGAAAGCAUAUGCAUCAGCUACAUGAGGGCUUGGCGUGAACGUUAUGCUCAGAUUUUUCUGCUCAUCUUCAACAUUUAAGAUGAAUUCUCUGGCGCAACCUCGUUCACCAAGAGGGUCAGUGUAAUGGAAGCCACUGAAGUUGCUAAGAAAGGUAUAGCGACGGGUUGUGACAGAAAAAGAUGCUUUAGACCUGUUGAAACCAGUGUAGGAAGCUGGAUUGAAAUGGAGGCGAACAAACUUAGGUCCUGUUGUUUUGACAGGAAAUGUGUAGGUGAAUUUGGAGAGAGAGACACGAGCAGUAUAAUAAGGUACAGAGCUAGGGGAGGCUUCAUUUGCUGUGGGAUUUGUUGAGGGGCCGUCUUGAUCUAGAAGGGCCACUCUUGAGUUGAUGUCUGCAGUCCAGUUUCUAGCGUUUCCAAUACUAUCGGAGGAUGAACCACAAUCAAGCGCUCUGCUAUCGAGGGGGACGUAAGGUGCUUGAUCCCCGGUUACAAGGAUGGUGAGUUGGAGGAACAGGAAGGAGAGGUGCAGAGGAGUGAAGAGAGAUAAGUUUGUGAGAGAGAGAGAUUUGCUGCUGCUGCUGCUGCUGCUCAUUUUGUUUUUGGCCAGAGGAGGAGAGAUGAAGAAAUCAAGAGGAGAAGCUCCUUUUAAUUAUAUGCUGAGAGGAGUUCAAGUCAUGCUAUAGUUUUCUGAUUCUAAUUUUUAUUCUUUUUUUGAUUUCUUAUGUAAAAUCGUUUUCAAGUAUUAGUAAUUAUAAAAGUCUCAUGGAGUAGUAUCAAUGUAUCAUUUGGCAAAGGGACAAUAUAUGGAAGACCUUUGAAAGGUUUUAUUUAUUUAUUUAUUUACAUGGGUGUUCAGGCCAGCUUAUGCGUAUCACGACUAAUUUCAUGGUCCACUAAAUAUUCUACAAACCUAGUGAGCAUGUAAGGUACCGCGAGGAUGACAGACAUGCAUGAGAUUUGAAUCUAGUGCAGGAAAAAAAAAAAAAAAAACUCUUUUCACUAAUAGGCCAAAACGUCAAGUGUACUUUGAAAGUUCUUUGAUAGUACGAGCGGAGCAUGAAAGACUUCCAGGUCGUUGGCUGUAUUCUAUCAACUUUAGAGAUUUCCGUGUCUAGGGGGGCAUGAAGGUCUAUCAUGACUCUCAUCUAAACUGUUAGGGUCUCAUCUAAACUGUUAGGGUCUGGUAUAUAGGGUGAGAUAAUUGAAGUGAUAAUCUUAACGUAUAAAAUUUAUUAACUCCAAACGAGUGAUAGGGUAAAUAUUUUUUAAUGUUUUCUCUCAAAGCAAAUUAAAGAAAACUUGAAUGAUUUUGGGUGAUUGGGUGCCUACAAGGAUACAGGCGAGAGGAGCGACAUGACCAUUUGCUUCCCAUUAUACUUGAUGCCAUGACACUAAUAAUUAAAUAUUUCGCUUCUGGUUUGUAUUUGGACUAACCAAAUUCAGAGGACUCUCCAUGUUAAAAUAAUUUGUAUGCUAAUUAGAUAUAUGUGAUUUGAUUCUUUAAGCCGCGCUAAUCCCUCCUUUUGUAGUCGAGCAAAUUUAACGUUACUUUUGACUUAAAAAGAAAGGAUGUAUAUCAUAUUUAUAUUUGUUCUAGUUUCAAACACAUUUAAAUAUUGAUUAAAAUUUAAAACUAAAAAACUUUUUAAAUUAAAUUUGUAUUUUUCAUUUAUUUACGGUUGAAAUUUCUUUAUUUUAUUUUUUAUGUGGUCAAUUUUUUUUUAUGUUUUAAUUUAAGAGGUCAAAAAAGUUUGAUUAAAAAUCUCUUUUGUAGAUUUUUACUUUUUAUUUUUAACUCUCAUUAAUAACGGGUCAUCAUUUGGAUCUUAAAUGAAUAAAAAGAUAGUUUAAUAAAAUUUCCAGUGAAGGAUAAGAUGAAAGAAGUGCAGACGAAACAUACUUGAUGGUGUUAAAUGUGUAAAUUUUCAUAGACAUGAUUUUCUAAUUUAUUUUUUCAUGAUUGUUUUUAUUUACUCGAGCUUUUUUAUUUUUAAAAUAAAAUUUAUUUUUUCCUAUUGUUUUUCUUUGCAUCUAUAAAAAAAACAAAACGUAUCUAUAAAAAAUAAGAAACAAUAAGACAUAAGAAGAAUUUUAGAAUAAAUAAUAAUAAAAAGAUCCAACAUUAAUUCAAUAUUUUAUUUUAUUUUUAUUGAAACUAGCACUAAUAAAAAUCUUACACGUAUCCUUAUAUGUUUUUGAAAUUUAAAAUUAAUAAAAAAAAAUUGACUUGAUCAUUGAUAGAGAAACUCAUAUUGUCCAAUGAACUGUAAACAAUAUUGAAUUAUGCAAUGUGAAAUCACUACAAUGUAUAUAUAUAUAUAUAUAUAUAUAUAUAUAUAUAUAUAUAUAUAUAUAUAUAUAUAAAAUGAUACUAAUGGAGCCUCUAGUCUAAUCAAACCGGCUAAAUUCCAUGUAAAAUCGUUUUCAAGUAUCAGUAUAUGAAAGUUUCCUAGAGGUUUAAAGUCAUUGGCAUACUCUUUUAAAUGAUGCUUCUCUUUUAAAUGAUGCAAUGAAAUAUUAGAAAGAGGUUCGUUGAAACCAAAUAAUAUUGAUAUCUAUACUCUUUUAAAAGAUGCUUCUCUGUAUGAAAUGAUGUUAUGCUAAAGAGCAAAAAACAAGUUAUUAAGAGGAACUUAUUUAGUUGGUUAUUUGAAUGAGAUAGUUAAGGACAGUUCAAUAAUUGCCUUGGAUUUUGAUGAAGAGUUUGAGGAAGAUCAACAUUAGCUAAUUUCAAUCGCAUAACUUAAGAAUGGAUGAUUGUUCGAGGAUGUUAUAGAAAGAAAUCAUGAAGAGGCUAGCAAACAUGUUAUUAAAGAAACAAAAGCUAUCAAUAUGGUCAAUAAGGGAAAGAACACUCUUUUGAUAUCAAAAGAGUUGAAGAAAUUUUUAACCAAUUAAUAUGUGAAAGGAAAAUCAAGCUCUUUGGUAUUCACAUGAACUCCAUUGCUGAACAGAUCAAGAGGAAAUUAUAUUACAUGUGGCAUAACUAAUAGAGACAUGGCAUCAAUAGUUGUGCUGUCUUUAUAAAUCAGAUCUAAAAAGCACUUGAGCCUGAUCAUAUUUGCUUCCAGAGAAAGAAAAUUAUGAUAGAUAACAAUCAUUUUAGCAAUUACGCUAACGCUAGAAAAACUCAAUGGUAAAAUAGAUUUAUAGAACACAAUGCCUUGUCGACCACGAAAAAAGCUAGAAUUAGUCAUGAAUACUACUACUAGAAAAAGCUAUUUCAAAUAUGACAAGGCUAAGGAGUUGGCAUUAGAAGAUUAGUAAAUACCUUCAUAUGAGGUGGGUGGGUAUGCAUGUAUCAUAUUGUUAUAGAACUCUAGAUAUGGGGAAAAUACCAUUAAGAGGUCAAGUUGUUAGUAACAAGACAAUUUGGUGAUCAGAAUUAAAACUAUUGAUGGACAUAGAAGAUAGCUGUAACAUUUCAUAUAAAAGUUGUAGAGGAAUGAGUUAGCUAACAUUUGGCACUAGCAUUACCUUAAUUGGACUUAUAAAACUCCAGAUAUAGGAAAAAUACCAUUAAGUGGAUAAGCUUUUGUAACAUGACAUAUUUCACCACCUGACUUCUAAAUAGUUUUAAAAUAGAUGAAUAAUAGAAUUUUGGGCAAUCUUAUACAUGAAAGUUGUAUUUAAAGAUGUUAAAUUUCAUUAGGAUUUGGCAUCACCUGAAUUGAAGCUCUAGAAUUCCAUUUGGGGACUAGAAAUUAUAGACUGAACAUGUUGUGAAUUGAUGGAGAGAUUUACAUAUAUAUAUGUGUAAAAGACGAGUGAUUUUAGGCAUGCUAAUGAUUCAUGUUGAAAUUAAUUCUUCUAAAUCAUGAUAUAUAUAUAUAUAUAUAUAUAUAUAUAUAUAUGUGUGUGUGUGUGUGUGUGUGUGUGUGUGUGUGUGUGUGUGUGUGUCAACAUUCAAAAGAAACAUAUAAAAGGGUCUAGACGAAAAUAGAUGUUGAAAUUUCAUUAAUGCAAAACCAAGUCAUAGAUAUUGAAAUCUUGUUGAUACAAAACUAAGUCAAGGACACCGAAAUUUUGUUGAUGUAAAACAAAUUUUGAGUCAUGCGGACACUAACUCUAAAAAUAUACUUGAUAUGUAUAUUGACACAACCAAAAGAUUGAUGUCUUCUCCCAAAUGUAAAAGUGUCGAAAUAAUAAAUAACCCAGCAAAAUUGGGAUCGAACCACAGGGAGGUUAACUAUACAAAUUAUAAAUAACAACAACAACAACAAUAAUAGUAAAACUACUACUAGUAGUAGUAGUAGUAGUAGUAGUAAUAGUAAUAAUAGUAAUAAUAAUAAUAAUAAUAAUAAAGAUGGAGAAGAAGAAGAAGAAGUUAAUGAGAACUUUGAGAUGAAAGAUUAACGGAAGGAUUAAACAAUGAUAACAACAAAUGUCAAGGUUAGAGGAUCUACUAAUGGUAUGUCAAACAAGUAUAAGAUAAACUUUUAUUAUCUAAUUGAAAACCACACACAAAGAAGGUUCCAAUCAGAUUAUAAAUUAUUAACAUGAUUACUGUGAAAACCCGCUAAAUUAUAAUAUGAGUAAAAUAAAUAAAGUAUUGAAUAAAUUAAAUAAAAAGAUUUUAAGUAUUGUAAUUGGAUACAAUAGAAUAAAAUAUAAGAUGUUAUGGUGUGAAUUAAGUAAAAGAAGAGUUGAGUGACAAAAAUAGAAAUAAGAAGAAAUGAGGGCCAAUGUGUAAAUUGGUAAAAGUUAGACUAUAAAUGCUUCAUCUUUUUCUCUUUUAGCCGUGAGUUUGAAACAAAGAGAGGGGGAAGAAUUGUGUGAUUUUCUACUUAAAUGCUCAUUGAUUUCACUAAUUAAAGUGAGUAAUUAGAGUGAUUAACUUAAUUAAACAUCAAAAGGGGGUUGAUUUUAAGGUGGUGAGUGCAUUGAAGGAAGGAUUUCAAGCUAGGGUUUGAAGAGGGAGAAUAAGAAAACUUGUUUUUCUUGCAUUCUUUCCUUAAAUCCUUAUCAAAGUGAGGUAAAUAACAUGUUCUAAAUGAUUAAUUCCUUUAUUUUUAUGUUUGAUGAAGGAUUAUGCAAAAUGAUGAUUAUGUGAAGUUGUGGAUUUAUGUUAUAAUUUAUAGGAAUAAUGCAAAUUAUGUUUGAACCAUGUUAGAAAGCAUGAAUUAUGAUUGGGUAAGUGUUUAAUUUUAAAUAAAUGAAACAAAAAUUAAUUUUCCCCAUUUUAAUUGAAUAUUUGGCCAAGAGAGGAAUAAUUUAGGGGAUUUGAGGUUUAAUACAAUUGUUUGGAAAAUAUGGGAAGAUGAAAGUUUAUAAGUGUUGUUAUAUGAAUGGAGUAGGAAUUUUUUUCAAGGAGAAAAGAAAAAUAUUCACUUCCCUCCCUAAGUUGUUUUUGGCUAAAUGGAGAAGAAAAUUAGAGAAUGGAGUUUAAAUGAUAUUAUUGAGGAAUCUUACUAAAUUUAAGACAAUUGAUGUUGAUAGGUUAAAUUGAAUAGAGACUUUUAUGGAAAUAAUAAUAAUAAUAAUAAUAAGAAAAUGUUUCAAAAGGGGGGGGGUUUAUCCCCCUUGAAUUAAAAGUCAAUUAAACUUAAUGAAGGGUAUUGGAUUUAACAAAGAAUAUGUCAUGGGUAUUAGAAUUUUACCGGUUCAAAUGAAUGAACAAAUGACAAAGUAAUUUUGUUGGUGCAGAGGAGGCCGCAGGACCUGAUCAGCAACAAGGGACCUCUUCACGCGCACAUACACCAGGUAGGUGUUCAACACCUUUGAGUGAUUAAUCAGUUUAUAUUUUUUAUUGUACAAGGAAUUUUAUAGAUUAUAAAUAUUAGUGCUGGUUACUAGAAAUAAUGCCCUGGUGAAUGGGCAAGCCUUGAAAAAUUAUUUCCUGGUUUCUGGAAAUAAUGCCCUGGUGAAUGGGCAAGCCUUGUAAAAAACUUAUUUCCUGGUUACUGGAAAUAAUGCCCUGGUGAAUGGGUGGUUACUGGAAAUAAUGCCCUGGUGAAUGGCAGGCCUUGAAAAAUUAUUUCCUGGUUACUGGAAAUAAUACCCUGGUGAAUGGGUAGUUACUAGAAAUAAUGUCCUGGUGAAUGGGCAAGCCUUGAAAAAUCAUUUCCUGGUUACUGGAAAUAAUGCCCUGGUGAAUGGGCGAGCCUUGAAGAUCAUUUCCUUAUUAUUGAAAUUUAUGCCUGGUAGAAUGACCAUGUUAAGAAAAUUAAUUUUUCAAAUUAAUGGGAUAAUCACUCGAUGUAAAAUAAAUCAUAAAACUUUGAAGUUAAAUAUGCUAGGUUGUGGGAGACACUCUUGAUAUUUUUAUUUUAGUAGAUUUAUCCCUGUCUAGAAGAGAAUUUAUGAAAUUAGAAAUUUCAAAAAGAAAAUAAGACAAUUAAUUCUAUGAUAUGAAAAUCACCUUAAUGUAUAUAAAUAAUUAGUUCUUAAUCAGUUACUUAUUGAAAUGUGCAAUUGUUUUAAUCAUGUUUAAUGCAAUUAUGUUUUUAGGUACAUCGCACCCUCGAUCUGGAAAGUAGAUGCUCGGAUAAAUAAUUUUGUUAUGUGAUUAAUGUACUUGGAAGAACUAAUAUUUUGUCGUAAUAUGCUUCCAUAUCUAAAAUUGUAAUGUUUAACUUAUUAUCUUGUGUAUGAUAUAAUUUGUAAGGUUAUUAUUAUUAAGUUGAAUUAUGGUUGGUUGUGUGUGUAUAUAUAUAUAUAUAAAGAGAUGAUGCAUGUUAAGAAUUUAUUAGUUUUAUUGUAGUGUUCUAUAGAAAAUAGAAUUGUGAUAUUGAAAUAUGCUUGAGUUUUUUGAUGUCCAAAUGAUGGGACGAAUAUUGUGAUUGAUGUUACAGGUUGAGAAAUGAUUGAGUCGAUAACUUGGUACCUAAAGAAUACAAAGGAAACUCUGCCGAAAUUUCGAGAAUAUAUAUAUAUAUAUAUAUAAAAAAAUGGUAACUACGAAUAUAUCUAAUAUAUUUUUGAGUUUACAAAUUGAGACUGUUACAAUUACAUUAGUUAUCUUAUUCGAAUAAUGCUAAUAAUUGUAAAUGUUGUUAGGCAUUCAUGAUUAUAACUUAUGUUAACAACAAAUCAAGUUUUUUUCAUAGCUUAGGUGUCGGUUAUACCAUACAGUAUGGGCUAUGAAAGUGCCAAGUAUUUGUUGUACCAAGUGUUAUACAACAUAAAUCUAGAUUAACCAUUUAACAAGCAAAGUAUUAAAAGUGAACAAGAUAAAAAAUAUAAAACAUGUUAGUAUCAAACAUUAAGGUCUAUGUUGAGUUUACACUAUACUUAUUCUUACACCAUUAGUGUAACCUUUUCACUUUGACAUAAUAAACAUAACUAAACAUAAUGAAAGAAAGAAAAAUAAAUAAACAAAAUAAGAACAUAAAUAAGAUAAAAGUUAACUAAGUAAAGGAAAGGAAAGGAAAGGCAUAAACUUGAUAUUAAUGAAAGCAAAACAUAAGCAAUACAAAGAAAGAAAGCAAGAGCAUGAUCUUGAUUUGGAAACCAAGAUGCCUUAAAAUUUGAAACUAUUGAUUUGAUAAAUAAUUGAUGAGUGGGUGGCCACAUCUUAACUUAGUGAUAAUCCUUAUCUUCUUGUCUGAAUAAAACAUCAUUGAUAACGUCAAAAUUGGAACCACUUGUACUCAUGAAAGUUCUAGAAAAUUGUCUCAACUUUCCAGGAAAAAAAAGGUCAUUUGGACUUUUAGAACUCCAGAUAUGGGCCAAACACUGAACAGUGUUCAGGCUGCAAGAUAGAUUCGGACUUCUUCGUUGUUGCUAUAAUUUGGACUUAAAAAUAACCUUUUUAAAUCUUGGGCUCCAUGAAAGUUGUAAGCCUAUGUCUUACCUUUCCAUCCAUAUAAAGUAGACCUAAAUUUGAGAUCUACAACUCCAGAUAUGACCCAAUUACCGAACAAUGUUCCAAUUUGGACUACACUAGCAUCUCUUUUCUAAGUUUGGCCAUCUCUUUGUCCUUCCAAUUUCAGUACUUAAACUCAUCAAUCAAUCCUUUCAUUUAUGUGAUAGGUCUGUAUUUAAUAUGAACAUUUACCACAAAUUAAAGGUACAUUAUAUUAUUAGAUAUGUUAUUAUAAAACAUACUUUAGCUGAGUUAUUGAUACUUCAAUUGCAAAAUAAUGAUAUAAAACUUUGAUAAAAAUACACUUUUAAGUACUAAUCAUAUAUAUAUGUUAUGAUAAGAAAAUGAACAUAUAUAGAAAGUAUCAUAUGUAUAAUGAAUUAAUAUGGACUGCCUAUAACAUUUGGCUUGAAGGAAUCAUGACCAAAUACUUCUUUGUGAUUCAGAAGGAGCGACCAGGGAUUGGAUGUUCUAUUAGAGAAAGUCAUGAGACAUGUGGAGCAGGUAUGUGGUUUCCCUCUUCUUCACACUUAUAGAAUUAUAAUAAUGUUAUGUUCAAUAUAAAUAAAGUCUAGUGUAUUAAUGAGAUUAGUUUCAGCUAAUGGUAUCUGUGAUAAGAUUUUUGGGAAAUGAAUUACAAUAUUAGUUUCGGCUAAUGACAUUCGUGAUAGGAUUGCAAAGAAAUGAAUUAGAAUAUUAGCUUUGGCUAAUGACAUCCAUAUUGGGAUGCUCGGGAAUGAUCGAUAAGGCUCGAUUUGUAAAGGGUAUCCGUGGUUGGAUGACCUAGAAAAUAUUAUAAGUAUAAUUGCCCAAAAAUAUCCAAGUUGGACUAUGCAAGGUUAAAGAUCUAGUAAAACCAAUUAAACAAAGUUACUAGGUUCAUGUAAGAAAAUAAUAAUAUUAAAUUAAGAAUACAUAAAUGAGGUCUAAUUGGGUUUUAAAUGAUUCUCGAGACAUUUAUAAGUUGCUUAUUAGAAUUCCUAGGAAACCAAUAGAAAACUUAUGUUUUAUUUGUAUUCAUUACAUGAUCAUUUAUAAUUUUACUGUCAAUAUAAUUUUAUAUUUAUUAAGUUGUUUUUGUAACAAAUCUAUCUAGUAGCCAGGGAGCUCAUUAGUUUUUAGGACUUUACUUUGCUAAGUUUAUGUAAAAAUUUAACUUAUGCAUAAAAGUAAUAACUAGAUUAUGCAAUAUGUUUUUUGUGUAAACUCAGAUAUAUAUUGUAUGAAUCAGAACUCCUUAGUUAUUUGGUAAUUAAUCCUUUUGAAACCUUUAAGAAUACUUAUGUUAUGUUUUAAAUUCUCUUGUUACAUGUUAGUAUAUAUAUAUGCCUUAUGAACAAGAUCAAUAUAAACAUAGCCCAUAUAUUUUUUUAUUUUCAAAAAUAAAAUUAAUAUAUACAAAAGAUUCAAAAAAAUUAUAGAUAAAUCAGAAGAACCUCCUAAAAAAUUAAAACAAUAAUUAAAAAAUAACUUUCAUUUCAAAGAGGCUCUUUAAACAACAUUAAAAAAGGUAUUGAUCUAAAUAUAAAUAAAAAAAUAUGAAAUGAAUUAAUUUUUUAAAAAUAAAAACUCAAAAAAUAAAAACACAAAAAAAGGCCAAGAAUUGUCGAACCUAGCAAGGUAGGUCAGCCUACUUAGCCCAUUUUGUUAGGGCCCAUGCGCACUGACUUUUUUUUUUUUUUUUGCAAAUUAUUUAUGAAAAAAACAAAUAAGAUUAUGUGUCACUCGUGGGCUAUAUAUUUUUCUCUCUUGCAAAAACGUUGUACAUGCAUGCUUUUUUGAUGCAUUUUUUACAUAAAAAGAUUUAAAGUUUAGAUUAAAAAGCUUAUGCAUUUAUGUAAUCAAACAAAUCGACAAUUAUGUGAAUUAAUAAUCGAAAAAAAGGUAUUGAUGAUAACUAAAAAUAAAAUUAGAAGAUUCAGGUAUGUUAAUAAAUGAAAUAUUUACUUGGUUGUGUAUUUUUGAAUUUGUUUAUUAAAAUUAAUAUUUUUAUUCAAUUAAAUGAUAUUAAAAAUAAACACACAUACUAAAUUAAUCAAAUAAAAUAAAAGUGGAAAAAAAUAUUAUGCAAAGUUAUACAUAUUAUGUUAUCUGAAAAUAAAUAUUUUUAUUUUUAAAAUAAAAUUCUUGUAUACAAAAAGAUAAAAGAAAAAAAUUGUCGAUGAAUUAGAAUGAGUUUUUCAAAAAUUAAAUACGAACAACACUAUAGAAAAAUAAUCUCUAUAAAAAAUCAACAAAAAAAACCCCACAAAUAAGAGAUAUUAAUUAAAACAUAACUUUAAAAAAUAUUUAAAAAGGACACAUAAAAAUUAUCAGUAGAAAAAAGCAAUAUCAAAAAAACAAAAUGUCUGGUUGUUGAAGCUUAACUCGUUAAACUCAUGAUCCGAACAAUAAACUCAAUCAGGUUCAAUAGUUUUUCCCCUUAAAUAUAUAUUCAACUUUUAACAUGAAAAAAUUAAACCCGUAACCCGGAUCAUGAACUCAACUAGACUUAAUAUUUGUUUCCAUUAAAUUUUUUUUUUUAAAAAAUAAACCCUUUACCUGGACCAUGAAUUCAAAUGGAUUCAAUAAAUUGUUUCCCCUUAUGUUUAUAUUCAACCUUUAAAAAAAAUUUAAAAACACACAACAUGAUAAAAAAAAAAUGAUAUAAAAAAUGUAAAAACAAAUCACAAAUAAAUGAUGUUAAUGAAACAUAAAUUUAAAUUAUUUAUAAAAAGAUACCAAUAAAAAAAAGGAAAUAUCAAAAAAAAUAUCCAAUUAUUAUGGCUUAACUUAUUAAAUUCAUGUCUCAGUCUAUAAACACAAUUAAAUUCAAUAUUUUUUCUUUCCAAUUUAUAUUUAACUUUUUUUAAAAAAAACACCACGUGAUCCGGAUCUACAUCUGAAACAGGUAAAGUAUAAUGUUGUUGAUCCACGCUAGCAUGAAAUUGAUCUCUUGUGAUAUCAUUUAAUUUCAUGUAUAGGAAAAUAUGACCUAACCAGUCAAUCAUUGCCACAUUCCUCUUCUUUCUUAGCUGCUUGCUUUUAUAUUUGAUUAGAUAGACACCAUUAAAAAGAGCUAGCUCAAAAUAAAAGAGAUGCUAUUAGAGGUCUAGGCGCGAGGACGCGCCAACAAAAGCACACUGCCUAGAAUUCGGUAGCGAUGGACAGCAGCAGAGACGAAUUCAGCAAACAGUGUGCAAUGGUCUGUGCAAGUCUUUGAGCUGGCGACUUGACAUGGACAUAGGGGCUUAGAUAAUGGACCUUCUAAGUCAGCAGCUGACGCAGCAACAACUGGUAGUUUGACUGCUAGGUGGACAGCCAGAACGUGGGUGAAGUGGCAGCUUCAUGGCCUAGAACAUGGGUAACUUGGCAGCAUCCUGUGGCCAGAACGUGGGCAUAACUGGGGUGCUCUCCAAGCUACUAGGAUCAUGGAGAUCAUGGGGGAGAAAGUGUCCCACUAUGUCUUGAAAAAUAGGAGUCAUGAGUGAGCCUUGCAGCUCACAUAUUUGUCUAUAAAUAGGCUGCAAAAGCCUUGGUUGUGUAGCAUGCAAUUUAUGUGCAAAGCUCACACACUCUUAUUGUGUAAUCCUUUGUUGAUGAGAUAAAUAAAGGUUGAGAGCUAUUCUUGUAAAGUUUGGUGUGCUUGCUUGUGUUUGUUCUUUGUUUACGACGAGGCGAUUGUAAGAACCUCUUUGAAUGAGCGAAACACAUAAUCGUAGAAAACACGAGUGAAAGGGGAGGCUAGGCUGAGUCUAGUUGGGACUAGACUGCCGCAUUGGGUUGAAUUUGAUUGCGAAAAAUUUAACCCCAUGACAGAUACCAUGAAGAGUCUUUCCUUGUCAGCUCUAACAUUAUCGUCGUUGUUGUUGAUGAUGUUGCUAGUAUAUUUCAUCAUGAACUCAACUGGACUUAAUAUUUGUUUCCAUUAAAUUUUAGAAAAAAAAAAUUUUGAAUCUUUUGCGAAAGGGACAAAACCAUCGAUGUUUACUAUCAACACUCUAAUUUUUUAGAGAAGAAAGACACCAUGAAGAAAUGGAGACCUAUAUUUCUCAGGUACGUGUACAUGCAUAUAGAUCAUAAUGCAUUGUUUUCAACUGUCGCACGUGUGCGGCGGCGCGGCGAUCGUCCACCCUCAAGGAAAAAUUGGAAGAAUAUUUAUUCCUGGAAAAUAGGGAGAGACAAGGAAUUCUUGUCUCUACAAGUGAAAAUAUGGACUGGGAGUCGCCACCUAGUAUUCUGGUUACUAGGAACCUUAACUGGUCUUUAGAGAUCGGGUACGGAGACUAGUUGCGUAAAGGGAAGGUAUUAGCACCCCAACUACGCCCUACCUAAGGUAGGCUGCAUUGUUUUAAUGUCUGAUAAAAUCUAAAAUCAUGUUAUGGUUUUUUAAUUAUUGGUUCGUUUACGGUUUAAGAAAAGUCCUCCUAUGUAAGGAGAUCCUUAUCUUUAUCGGGUAAAAACCUAACUAUUCAAAGUCGUCAAAAGAAAAUAUCUUUUUAAUAUCAGGAAUACGAUUUACGUAUAAAUUCAUAAUCCCUGAUACUAAAAUCAAACAAAAUAAAAUUUUUGUUGUUUUUGAGAUUUUGGUCAAUGUUCUCUUGACUUUAAUAAACUGGUUAUUAAAGCCAAAAUGCAUGCUAAAAUAUUGUUUUUUGACAUAUGAAAAAUAUGAUAUGAGUUUUUAGAUUUGAGACACUUGGCCGUAUGCACAAAAAUAUUUUUUUUUAGUUGUUUUUUUGUAUUUUUGGAAGUUUUUGCCGAAAAUCGGGUAUUUUAAUACCGGAUUUGUAUUUUACGACAUAAAAAUACUGGCCGAUAUUAAUCAAAAUGACAUAAAAACGACGCGGAAAAAUUAUAAAAUGUUCAAACAAAUAUUUUUGAUUUUUUAUGUUGUGUGAACAGUACCGCGGGACGAAAACUGGGUAUUUUAAUACCGGAUUUAUAUUUUUACAAUGUAAAAUACAGAUCGAUAUUAAGCAAAAUUGAUAAAAAAAAAAUGUGCUGAAAAAAAUUGUAAAAAAAAAAUAAAAAAAAUUGAAAUGGGCCGGACCCGGCCCAUUUCAGUGGGCUGGGCCCACCCGACCCAUUUCUAAAUGGGCUGGUUACUGUGCAUAGCCUAUCAUCAGUUGCAGAACGUGAAUUAAUUCACGUUCUGCAUGAAAACAAAAGAAGGCAGAAGGAGAAGGAGACGGGGCAGCGGGAGGUUACCUGCGGUGGCGUCGAGGCGGUGCUGGUGGUGGCAGCGGAGGCGAUGGUGGCGGAGGCACAGUGGUUCUGCGUUUCCCUUCUCUCUCUCUUCUGUUUUUCUUCGUUUUCUUCCCUGCUUCUUCUUCUUCUUCUUCUUCUUCUUCUCUGCCCUCUCUCUUCUCUUCUCUUCUCUCUCGGUUCGUCUCCCUCUUCUCUCUCCAUCGGUCUCCCUUCUGUUUUUCUUCUCUUUUUUUCGGUGCCCCUCCCCUGUUUUUAUAGGCAAAAACAGGGGGGUGGUGUCGUGGUGGGGCGGCCACUGUCGGUCGCCCCUCCACUAUCGACUCAAAAGGAUAAAAAGGAGGAGACAAGUGGGUGAUUGCGGGCGUCUUAUUGCGCCAAAUCCGGGUGGGAAGUCGGUGCGAAAUAGAGGAGAAAAAAAAUCUUUGUCUCCCCUGUUCUCUGUGUGCGCAGGGAAGAAGACGAUGGUGCCGUUUCAAAACGACACCAUUUUGCAUUUUCCUUUUUUAUUUUUUCAAACAGUGCACGAAACGGCGCUGUUUUGGUCAAAACGCGCUGUUUCAUUUAAAAGGAAAAGGCGCCAAAACUUGUCAGAUUCAAAUUCCGGCCCUCCAUUUGCGCGCGUUUUACAAUUUAGUCCUUGGUCUCGGAUUUCUUCAAUUAAGUCUCUAAUUGGCCAUUAAACUUCAAUAUUUAUGCAAUUAAGCCCCUGAUUUGACCAAAUUAACUUCCAAAAAUUUAAAUUUGACCCCAGAAAAUUAAUUUCUCCUAAUUAAAGCCCAAAUUAACUCCAAAAUCAAUUUUUCUUGCAAUUAAAAUCUUUAUAAAUGCAAUUAAACCUUUAAUAAAAUUUAAUUGAGUCCAUAAACUUCUGAUUUUGCAUUUUCUUCCACAAAAUGAAUUUUCUUUAUCAUCGGGGCUCUCAUCAGUCAAUGAUAUACUGUCAAAAAUUAAUUUUUGAUUUUUGAACAUCCUCAAUCAAUUUUUGAGCAUUUUUAGGGCGCUCCGGCAUUUUUUCACUGUUAUAUUUUUUGAUAAUAUAUUUUUUUGAAUUUUUUUGUAUUUUAUUAUUUUUUAUGUGGGGACCCAGAAAUGGGUUACAACAGUUGCCCCCCUCUUUACAAUGCUUACGGAGCAAAGAUUUGUGCAUAGUAAGUGUUGUAAAGAUAAAACAAAAUUGGUUUUCCAAAACGGGUCGUCUCAAACUUUGAUUGACCUAAAACUUCAACCGGACCCAAAGUCCUGUGUGUGGUUGGGCUAAACUGAGAUUCCUUUUGCCAAUCCCCUUUAACCCGAAACUUAAAUAUUAUGUGUGUGUGGUUAGGAUAGACUAAGAUUCCUUUCGGCAAUCCCCUCUAACCAGAACCAAAAUCCUCUGUGGUUGGGAUAGACUGAGAUUCCUUUCGGCAAUCACCUCUAACCUGAACCAAAAUCCUCUGUGUGGUUGGGAUAGACUGAGAUUCCUUUCGGCAAUCCCCUCUAACCAGAACCAAAAUCCUCUGUGUGGUUGGGAUAGACUGAGAUUCCUUUCGGCAAUCCCCUCUAACCAGAACCAAAAUCCUCUGUGUGGUUGGGAUAGAUUGAGAUUCCUUUCGGCAAUCCCCUCUAACCAGAACCAAAAUCCUGUGUGGUUGGGAUAGACUGAGAUUCCUUUCGGCAAUCCCCUCUAACUAGAACCCAAAAACCUGUGUGUGCUUGGGAUAGACUGAGAUUCCUUUCGGCAAUCCCCUUUAACCAGAACCAAAAUCCUGUGUGUGGUUGGGAUAGACUGAGAUUCCUUUCGGCAAUCCCCUCUAACCAGAACCAAAAUCCUGUGUGUGGUUGGGAUAGACUGAGAUUGCUUUCGGCAAUCCCCUCUAACCAGAACCAAAAUCCUGUGUGGUUGGGAUAGACUGAGAUUCCUUUCGGCAAUCCCCUCUAACAAGAACCAAAAUCCUGUGUGUGGUUGGGAUAGACUGAGAUUGCUUUCGGCAAUCCCCUCUAACCAGAACCAAAAUCCUGUGUGGUUGGGAUAGACUGAGAUUCCUUUCGGCAAUCCCCUCUAACAAGAACCAAAAUCCUGUGUGUGGUUGGGAUAGACUGAGAUUGCUUUCGGCAAUCCCCUCUAACCAGAACCAAAAUCCUGUGUGGUUGGGAUAGACUGAGAUUCCUUUCGGCAAUCCCCUCUAACCAUAACCAAAAUCCUGUGUGGUUGGGAUAGACUGAGAUUCCUUUCGGCAAUCCCCUCUAACCAGAACCAAAAUCCUGUGUGUGGUUGGGAUAGACUGAGAUUGCUUUCGGCAAUCCCCUCUAACCAGAACCAAAAUCCUGUGUGGUUGGGAUAGACUGAGAUUCCUUUCGGCAAUCCCCUCUAACCAUAACCAAAAUCCUGUGUGGUUAGGAUAGACUAAGAUUCCUUUCGGCAAUCCCCUCUAACCAGAACCAAAAAUCCUGCGUGUGUAGCUCGGUCAACCUAAAAUCCCAUAUGGAGAUUCCCUGCUACAUGAGAUCCCAUCUGGCAACCUCAUUUAACCAAAACAAAAGAAAAUGUGAAAAAAAAACGGUCUCAUUGUAAUGGGUGACCUACCUAGAUGAAAAAAAGGAAGAGUGGUCGUGUUGUAAUGGGUGACCUACCCACGUGGAGGAAUGGUCUCAUUGUAAUGGGUGGCCUACCAAAAAAAAAACAUGGAGAAAUGGAUGGCGAGGGCUCAAAGGCGCACUCGAAAAGAGGUAGGGUUAGAAAACGCACUACCAAAGGAUGAGGGCUCAAAGGCGCACUCAAAAUAGAGGUGAGGGCUCAAAGGCGCACUCAAAAGGAGGUAGGGUUAGAAAACGCACUACCAAAGGGAUGAGGGCUCAAAGGCGCACUCAAAAGGAGGUAGGGUUAGAAAACGCACUACCCAAGGGAUGAGGGCUCAAAGGCGCACUCAAAAUGGAGGUGAGGGCUCAAAGGCGCACUCAAAAGGAGGUAGGGUUAGAAAACACACUACCCAAGGGAUGAGGGCUCAAAGGCGCACUCAAAAUGGAGGUGAGGGCUCAAAGGCGCACUCAAAAGGAGGUAGGGUUAGAAAACGCACUACCUAAGGGAUGAUGUCGAAACAUUGAUUGUCAAUGUUGAAAAGCAAAUGCAUUAUGAUUGAUAUGCAUGUAUACUUACCUGAGAAAUAUAGGCCCCCAUUUCUUCAUGGUGUCUUUGUUUUCUCUCAAAAGUUGUAGUAUUGGUAGUAAACUUCGAUGGCUUUUCCACGUUUGCUUACUCGGGUUACACAUUGUGAUCUUGACCUCUGGGAAGGGUUUGAUGUCAUCAUACAUCUUUGUCCUUCACCCCUUGAUCUCAAGAGUUACCAAUUUUGCCCGACAUUUUUCUUAGAACAGGAAUCAUGGAGCCAGCCCUACCAUGUGUUUUUGAUUGCCCCCCAGCUUGAUCAUGCCCCCCAAGUGUUCAACUUAGGUUUAGUGUGGGGUGAGGAUAUGUGAAAGUAGGUUUGAGUUUUUUGUACAAUGAAAUGUUUUCAUGCAAAAUAUUUGGAACUUCCAAGUUAUUUCAAAUCACAAAAAUGAUUUUGAUAUUGGUUCAAAAUAAACUUGUUCUCAAAAAUUCAAGCGAUUCCUAUGGACAGGUUUCUUGAAGUGAUAAAAGCUUUUUGCUUUUGGUUUAAAGAUGAAGGUGACAUCUGGUUGGUCACAAAAUGUUUAAAUGUCAAUUUGAGGGUUAUUGAGAACCGAAUUGAUUCAAAACAUUUAUUUUAUUUGCAUGAAUAAUGAUUUGACUCGCACGAGAAAGCACUGCAUACCGAUCCAGAUUGCUUGCCUUUGAUCAAAAAGGGCUUGAUUAGGUACGUAAUGUAGGCUUGAGUUAUUGGUUACAAAGAAAAGGAUAUGUUGCAGGCUCAAAAGGUGUUUAAGGGAUUUCAAGACUAGGGAUCACUUGUGCUCGUUUCCUGACCUUUUGUCUUUUGGAUUUGUUUUUUUUUUUUCAAAUGAGUUCUCCUGCCCCCUAGUGUCGGGUUUGGGCUUUUCUCUUUGUUUUCUUCGUUUUUGUUUGGUUGAGCACAAUCAUAUCAGUUGUUUGUAUAAGAAGCUCAAAUCUUUUAGAUCCUUUAGAUCUUAUUCUUUAACUAAUCAAUGCUUCAUUUAGAUGAUAAUGAAAGAUUAAAAAUUACAUGAUCAAAUCCAGCACCCAUCUUCACUGCUUUGUCUAGAUGGGUAAAAACUCUAUUAUUUUUCCCCCCAGUGUGGGGUGUGAUCCUAGUCAAGGUUAUUUCCAAAAAACAUUACUAGGCUUAAAAUGGGACUGCAACGGAUAUUUUUUUAUCCUUGUGAAAGGAUUAUCAAAGAUGGCAUUUCCUCAUCUCAAACUCAUGCAUUGAGGAUCGAUAGGUCUUGCUUUUGAGUCACCUCAUAGUGUUGUUUAUCUUUGUUGUCUUUUUUUCUUUCAAGUUUUCUAGGUAUAUGUGUACCUAUUUAAGGAAUCACUUGAAAUUUCAAAAUGCAUUUGUUUUGGACAAAUAUCAACACGAUUUUUGUUUUUUUUGUACUCACUUUGGAGGUCCCAAAAAAAUAUCCUUGAAAACAUAUGAGAUUAAUGUAUGGGUUUGGAAGAAAGGAAAACCAAAGGAUUCUUCAUGCUGUAGUGUUGUGAGGAAAGUUGCGCUCAAAAUGUUAUUUACAUGUAAUAACAACAAAGAAGAGUGUAAUGUGAACACAAGAAAACACAUGAUCUUAUUUCACAAGAGAAGCAUAUUAACAGAGAAAGUCUUGUUAAAAAGCAUUAACAAAAGGCAAUAACAAGGCAGGCUUCAUUCCUCUAUUUUGGCGAAUCUGUUCAUAGGCUAACCUCCUCUUAAAAGCUCUGCAUAGAGGACUCAAAGACAAUGCGGAACAACACCAUGGUUAAAAUUUGAGUUCUACAAAAUUCAAGCUAUCAUGCUGGACCAUUGAUGCUUCCCAAAUCCCCAAAACAUUCCAUCCUAAUAUGCUUCAAGCAUGAUUAGGCAGCGGGUUUGUAUUCAUAUUAGGGGUAUCUUCCAAUUUUAUCCACCCAGCCUUAAUUAAUUGCAGAAGCUUUCUCUUGAAGGCGUUGCAGGUAUAGAUGUUAUGCCUAGUAAUACCGGCAUGGUAUUCACAAUUGAGUUCUGGCUUGUACCAAUUAGGAUAAGGUGGUUGCAGAGGUGUUAGAGGUUCUGGAGCUAUUUGCCCGAUGCUCAAUAGCUUUUGAUACAUCUCAUUCAGGGGUAACGGUAGUGGAGGUAAUUGUUCUUGAACCCUUUGGAAAUUUCCAAUUUGGCUUUUGGCUUGAAAGUUUUGGGGUUCAGGUUUUCUGAUGUUGGCAAUUUGGAAUGGAGUAUGGUAAUUUUGGGAUGUAUUUGUUUUGCCCCUGUAGCCAUCUUCAACAUGGUGAACCUCUUUUCUUUUGACGCCUCUUUUCUCGGUUGGUGCAGCAAUUCUACCACUCUUGACACCUUGCUCUAUGCGUUCACACACUAUCACAGCAUCAGUGAAUUGUUGGGCUGAACUACCCAUCAUAUGUUCGUAAUAUGGUGCUUUGAGUGUGUUGGCAAAUAAAGAGACCAUCUUUUUGUCCAGAAGUGGGGGGAUGUACUUGAGCAGCUAAUUCUCGCCAUCUUUGAGCAUAUUCCCUUAUGCUUUCUUUAUCUUUUUUCUCUAUAUUGGACAAACUGGUUCUGUCGGGCGCAAUGUCCAUGUUUUACUUGUAUUGCUUGACGAAAGCAUCCACAAGAUUUUUCCAGUUGGGAAUUUUUGUGUUAUCCAAUCUCAUGUACCAACUCAAAGUUGCCCCACUUAAACUGUCUUGGAAAAAGUGCAUUAGUAGUUUUUCAUCAUGUACUACCUCAGCCAUUUUAUUGCAGUAGGACCUGAGAUGAGUCAUGGGGCAUUGUGUUCCACUGUAUUUGAUGAAUUCAGGAACACGAAAUUUCUUUGGGACAACCACAUUUGGGACCAAACACAUCUCUGCUGCCCGAACCGGGUCAUAUAAGUCUAUCCCUUCAAUGGCUUUAAGUCUGGCUUCCAGCGCCUCUAUCUUAGCUUGAUCAAUGCUAUCAGAUGACUUAGCCUUGUGGGACUCAUUAGCAGAUGCCUUCACUACUGUUGGGGAUGGUGCAGGUGUCGUUGACUGCACAAAUGUUGGAUUUUGCUGAGGUUCUUGACCAUGUUCGCUCAUUCUUUCCUCAAGCUGAACUGUAGUAGGAGCCGGAUCAAAGGUGAUCGGUUGAUUAGAAGGACCUUCAUCAGAGGUAUUUCUUAGUGUUUGCUUGAGUAAGCUAGUGAGGUGAGCCACACUUAUUUUCAGAGACUCCAACUCGUCGUGCAAAUAGGCCUCACAUUGAGCACGCUCUUCAUCUUCCAUGUUUCUUGCUCGAAGUCGGGUGUUGUAGACUUUUUGGGGACCUAUAUUUCAAUCUGCCAUGUAUGCAUGUUAAAUGUAUGAACAUGUAAUUUAUAUGAUAAACUUGCCCUUCGAGGGAUGACAUGAUUUUUUUAUUAUUAUUAUUUUUGUAUGACAUAUUCUGUAAAGAAAGAUAGCGCAUACAAACUAAAGACAGGGUCUAUUCAUGAAUAGGUUUUCUACCUGGUCUCAAAAGGGUCUCAUAUCUGCCUAGUGACGUCCUUCGUAAAGGCAGUAUGAGGGCGUUGCAAAGAACAGUUAAGGCACGUAUGCCCACCAUUACCAAGCAGGCUCUCAGAUAUAAGUUGGGUGUUUCACGCAUCUGAACCCGACCAAUAGUCAUAGGGCAGAUCAUUAAUUCCCCACUUAACUUAAAGGCUUGUGUAUGCUUUGAAAAACAUGUACAGAAAUUAAAGCGUGUAAGAAAAAAAAAUAAAUAAAGGAAAUGCAUAUUUAAAAAUAAACACGCAAACCACAAUAAAAAACACAAUAAUCAGACAAAAACAAAGCUUAGUCCACAAGGUCCCCAGCGGAGUCGCCAUUCUGUCGCACGUGUGCAGCGGCGCGGCGAUCGUCCACCCUCAAGGAAAAAUCGGAAAUAUUUAUUUCUUGCAAAUAGGGAGAGACAAGGAAUUCUUGUCUCUACAAGUGAAAAUAUAGACUGGGAGUCGCCACCUAGUAUUCUGGUUACUAGGAACCUUAACUGGUCUUUAGAGAUCGGGUACGGAGACUGGUUGCGUAAAGGGAAGGUAUUAGCACCCCAACUACGCCCUACCUAAGGUAGGCUGCAUUGUUUUAAUGUCUGAUAAAAUCUAAAAUCAUGUUAUGGUUUUUUAAUUGUUGGUUCGUUUACGGUUUAAGAAAAGUCCUCCUAUGUAAGGAGAUCCUUAUCUUUAUCGGGUAAAAACCUAACUAUUCAAAGUCGUCAAAAGAAAAUAUCUUUUUAAUAUCAGGAAUACGAUUUACGUAUAAAUUCAUAAUCCCUGAUACUAAAAUCAAACAAAAUAAAAUUUUUGUUGUUUUUGAGAUUUUGGCCAAUGUUCUCUUGACUUUAAUAAACUGGUUAUUAAAGCCAAAAUGCAUGCUAAAAUAUUGUUUUUUUGACAUAUGAAAAAUAUGAUAUGAGUUUUUAGAUUUGAGACACUUGGCCGUAUGCACAAAAACAUUUUUUUUAAUCGAUAUUAAGCAAAAUUGAUAAAAAAAAAGGUGCUGAAAAAAAUUGUAAAAAAAAAUAAAAAAAAUUGAAAUGGGCCGGACCCGGCCCAUUUUAGUGGGCUGGGCCAACCCGGCCCAUUACGAAAACUGAGAAGGAGACGGGGCAGCGGGAGGUUACCUGUGGUGGCGUCGAGGCGGUGCUGCUGGUGGCAGCGGAGGCGAUGGUGGUUCUGCGUUUCCCUUCUCUCUCUCUUUUGUUUUUCUUCGUUUUCUUCCCUGCUUCUUCUUCUUCUUCUUCUUCUUCUCUGCCCUCUCUCUUCUCUUCUCUUCUCUUCUCUCUCGGUUCGUCUCCCUCUUCUCUCUCCCUCGGUCUCCCUUUUGUUUUUCUUUUUUUUUCGGUGCCCCUCCCCUGUUUUUAUAGGCAAUGUCGAUCUGAAGAAGGGCGAACCGAUUUGCAGAGAAACAGAUCAAAGAGAAGCAGAUCUGAAAUGAAAAGAAAAAAAUAAAAUAAAAUCGACUGUUUGUGGUGUUUGCUUGGCUUUGCAGGUGACGAUGGUCUUCACCGCCGGUGAGGAGAGGAAGAAGGAGAGAAGCCGAGCUCGACCCACCUCCUGUUUUUCGUUUGAGGCGGCGCGUGAACCCACGCGCCGCCAGUGGCGGUGGAGCGUGGGAGGACGCACCGCCACUAUUCCCGAGCACUGUUUCCGGUGCCCAGAAACCUUCCAGCACUGUUCGGGCUUCCCUACAGUUACUAUAGAUUUUUGGGUUUUUAUUUUGUAAUUUUUGAAAUGUAAUAUUUUUAUUAUAGUAUUGAAUUUUAUUUGUAUUUUGUAAAUAUGGAUGUAAAAGAAAAGAAAAGAAAAGAAAAAGAAAAAAGAAAAGAAACAAAAAUAGUGAAAGUGUAUGUGUGUGUUUGUAUUUGUUUUAUGAAUUUGUUAUUUUGUUUUAUUUAUUUUUUAGGAUAAAAUCGCAAAGGUAAAAGAAGAAUUUAAUAUUUUGAUCGGAUCACGGUUAAGAAUUAUUAACUUAUACGUAAGUGAUAUUUCUAAUUUCCGAUGAAAAGACAAGUAUUAAAACUUCUUUAACACGUCAAAAAUCAUGAAGCAACUUACCUCAGGUAGGGUGCGUUAGGGGUGCUAAUACCUUCCCUAACCACAACCAGUCCCUUACCCGCGAAUCUCUGACAAGACCAGUACAUCCGGUUUCCUAGUAGCCUUCAAUAAAUUACUAGGUGGCGACUCCAACGAACCAAUCAAAGCAACAAACACAACAACGAGAAAAAUCGCUAGCCGAUGCCGCGCGGGAUUUUUAGACGUGCGACAGAAUGGCGACUCCACUGGGGAAGGUACUGUUUCUGACAUUAUUGGACUAAGCUUUGUGUAUUUGAUGUGUUUAAAUUUUUGCAUUUUUAUCUUUUUGUUAAUAUUUUUUUUCCAUGCAUUUUAUAGAAUUGUUUCAUGCAUCACCUGUAUUUAUUUUUGAAAGCACACACAAGCUUCUAGGUUAGGUGGGGAACUAGCGAUCUGCCCUAAGACUAUUGGUCAGGGUUCAGAUGCGUGAAACACCCAACUCAUAUCUGAGUGCCUGCUUGGUAAUGGUGGGUAUACGUGCCUUAACUAUUCCUUGCAACGCCCCCAUACUGUCUUUACGAAGAACGUCACUAGGCAGAUAUGAGACCAGAUAGAAAACCUACCCAUGUUCACAUAAUAAAUAGAACUUGUCCUUAAGUUGUAUGUGCUAUCGUUAUUUGUAUCAGAGCAAACCCUUCUUGAAGCAUCUUGAACUCAAGACUUGUGGGUGACACAUUGGCCGUCACUCCAAAAAUUUUCAUUGUAGAGUUUGGGAAAAAAUCACAAUUUUUGUUCCAUCAUACAAGAGUUACGAACAUAUUGUCACCCCUUGAAGAGCGAGUUCAUCAUAUAGAUUACAUGUUCAUACAUUUAUCAUGCAUGAACCGGGUUGAAAGGUAGGUCCCCUGUACAAGUUGUGCUGCACGUGAUUGAAGAAAGAUGAGGGAAGUGAACAAAGGAGUCAGAUAGAGGCUCAUUAUCAGAUUAAGGUUGAGAGCAUCAAAUUUGAAGUAGCUGGACUCAGAUUUGCCCGAACAAGUGUUGAGCAUCAAAUGGAAAGAGAGUGUCUGCAUAGUCUUCUGUGGGAACACUGCUUGUUCACGACCAAUUGAAGCUGUAUCUCUCCUUUUCCGUCAUGAACAACAACAACAAUGCCUUUAGUCAUCAACUAAUGACAACUCUGGUUCUUGUCCAGUUGCACUGUUAAAUGUUGAUCGCCUCCACAUCAUCUAAUGGAACCAAACAACUACCGGUCUCCUGUACAUGGUGCAUUAGUCUUCUUUGAAGCUACCCCAAUUAUGAGCUCAAUUCCAUUCAGCAGCACAAGAUGUUGGUCUGAAAAACCAUGAUUAGACACUGAACUUCUACGUGGUAGAGCUCUCUCUGUAGAGAUUUAUUUGUGGAUCUGCCAAUGGAAAUGCAAAAGGGAUGUAUUAAAUAUGCUUUGAAACUUUUUCCCAUCAGUGGCACGAGCAAAACAUUAUAGUAGGCAGAGAGUCAGGCCUGAUCUGAAAAUGAGUGGUCGUCGAACUUCAACGUGGCAGAGCUCUCUCUACAAAAAUCUGUUUAUGAUGCUGCAAGUUGAGAGUGCAAGAGGGGAUUUACUAAUUACAUAUGCUACAAAUAUUUGUCUCAACAGUUUCAGCAUGAAGAAACUGUAACAGGUUGAAGAGCCAGACUUGGUUUGAAAAACAUGAGCAUACAUCAAACUUCAAUGUAGCAGAGAUCUCUUGGCAUGAAUCUAUUUGUGGAUAUACAAGUGGGAAAUCCAAGAAGGGAUGCAGUGGUUUCAGAUUGUCCAUAAUUGUUUCCUUCCAAUAUCGGCAUUAAAACGCAAAAGUGGUUAUUUGCUGCACCAUCAGUGAGGAAUCAAAGAGGAAAUAGAAGAUGUUGUAGAUUCAUCGGGUUCUCUUCCAAUUUUGACAAAAGGUGAUUCCACACGCUUUUGUUUUUGUGCGCUGCCGGGAUUACAUAUCUAUUGAGAGGUUUCCAAGAACAACAACAAUAUCAUUGGAAGAUUGACAUGAAGUUGUGUGGAUUGCCAAGAAAGAAUUGAAUAUGUUAUGAAGAGAGGAAAGAUUGAAGGUUUUGUCAUGGAUUUCAGAACAAUGAUGAGAAAUGAAUCAGAAGAUGACUCUGACGGUGGGAAACCUUAAUUAUGUGGUCUAAGCCAAGUCUCGCUGUAUCAUCGACCACUCCAAUGUCUUUGUCAAAGAUAGAAGUUCAUUUGCCAUAUGGUGUAAUCCAGACAACAUAUGCGAUGUGGUGGUGGGGUCCUCGACCAUUUCAAUGGAAUAGUUGCAAGAAUUUCAAUUGCACAGUGGCCAUGUGGGUUUAUUUACCAGAAUUUGCUAGAUUCUAGACUUUUGCUAGACGCCGACAGAUCCCAUGCAACCACCAAUUUCUAGGUGGUAUAAUCCAGAUAAAAGUUGUGAUGUCAUGGUGGGGUCCUCAACCAUUUCAAUUGAACAGUUUCAAGAAUUGAGUCCGAAAGUUGGUGAGCAAGAAACAAGUGGAGUCGGUGAAGGAGGUUGUCAUUGGCUAUAUUGUCCCCCGAACAUCUUCAAAAUGACAUGAUUGAUCGAGAGUGCUUGGCAAAACACAGAUAUAGCCAGAACAACUAAUUCAAGAAUGGUGAUGAACGGCCAAUCAUAUUGUUAUGGAAUUUUGCAUUUUUGUUUUGAGAUCACAUCUCAUCCUUCAACGAAACAUGCCUUGCUUUUGUCUCUUUGUUGUUUUGAAAUCAACAGAUGUUUAACAUUUUUUCUAACAAAAUAUUUUGAUCAAACUCCAACAUGCGAUAAAGGUUAAUCAAUCCUGAAGAUUAAAAGUGUUUUGAUUCCAAAAUGACUUGAUGCUUGUUGAAAUGACAUGAGGUGACCAAACAAAUUUUGAGCUCACAUAAAAUUGAACCACACAUCAUUAACUAAGUUUUAGCAGUAUGCAUAAUGACAUGUAGUGGAUUCGGUAGCUAUGGACUCGUGAAUCAUUGACUCUUAUAAGUCUAAAUCAUUACAAUGGAUGAGGUCAAAAUUUAUCAGUUCUAACCGACCUUGCUUGAAAUGAGAAAAGGCCAUCUUUGUUAUCCUUCCACAUUUCUCGAAAAAUUAUCCUUUGCAGUACCAUUUUGAGCCUGGUGAAAUAUUUUCUUUCAAAAAGAAACCCUGACUAGGAUCACACCCCACACUGGGGGCAAAUGAGAGAUGUUUUGAAGGCAUUGAUAUAAUUAAUGGAUAAAGGGGAAGACUUAGAACAAAAGUCCAAUGAUUGAGAGAGGGCUAAAAGAAACACCUAAACUGGGGGCAUAUAAGAAAAUUUUGAGGAAGGCUAUGAGUUGAAAUUGCCUUCACUUAAAUACAAGUCAAAGAUAAAGGAAGGAGAAUGCCUAUCAAGUCUAGGAAGAGCAAGAGAAAUUUCAAUCAAGAAAAGACACAACAACGUCAUAAUGCAUGUCGCACGUCGAAAAAUUCCGCACGACAUCGACUGGCGAUUUUUUAUUAUUUGUGUUUUGCUUGGUUUGUUGGAGUCACCACCUAGUAUUAUGGUCACUAGGAACCUAAGGUCUGCGAGAAUCUGAGUAAGGGACUGGUUGUGCAAGGGGAAGUCGCAUCACCCCUAGUGCACCCUACCUAAGGCAAGCUGCAUUAUUGUUUGAUUGUUUUUGUAGGUCGAGUUUCUAUUCGCUGGUCUUUUCUAAGGUUCAAGGCAGAUCUCCCCUCGUGAGGAAGUCUCUACCUUAUUCGGUUAAAUCCUAACCAUUCUAAAGUCUUAAUUUUAAAAUUUGCUUUUAUUUACACCUUGUAUUUUUAAUACCCGAGGAUGUACAUUAUCGCGUAAUUUUACACCCCACAAAUAUUAAAGUCUACAUCUGGAUCCUAGAAAAAAAGGUUGGAAAAAGGUUUUUGACAUUUUGGCCAAAUCCUAAUGGACAAUCAUAAUCUGGUUACGAUAUCCAUUUUAAAAAACAUGAAAAAGAUGCAAUUUUUGUUUUUACAAAAAAUAUGCUUGGAAAAAUUUUAGGAUUUGGCCGUAUGCAAUGAAAUAUUUUUUUCUUUUGAAAAUGUUUUUUUUUUUUUUUUUUUGAAAUAUUUCGGAGAAAACCAGGUAUUUUAAUACCGAUUUGUAUUUUACAAUGUAAAUAUACAACGAUAUUGUGCAAAACUUGGUGGAAAAAUAUUUAAGAAAACCACAAAUUUUUAUAUGAUUUUUUGAAUAUUUUUUGAAAUUUUUUUUUUUUUUUUUUUGGGCCGGGCUGGGCCAGAACCGGCCCGGCCCGGCAGUGGCUAAUUAAUUAGCCACUGCAUGCAGAAAUGAAUUCUGCAUGCAGCGGCUACAAGAACGAAGAAAAAAAGGUGGAGCAGGGAGGAGAGAGUUACCUGGCGUGGAGAGAGUCGGCGCCUGGCUGGGGUGCGCGGUUCUGGUGGCGGCGAGGCCGGCGGCGUGCACGGUCCCGGCUGGAAGAAGAAGGAAACGAGUCCUGCAGAGGAGAGGGAAAGCUCACGGCUGGAGCUGUUGGUGUGGCUGAGGAGGGAAAUGCUACCCGGGCUGCUGCUGAUAAGGCAAGCCGCUGGAAAGGGUGGUUGCGCUGCUGUGCUGCUGGGUUGCGGUGGUGGAGAGAAAAAAGUUUUGCAGAGAAAGAGGGGGAGAGAGAGAGGUGUUGCAGGCUUCGGUGAGGUUGCUGAGUGAUGGAUGGGAUGUGGUGUUUCAGGGGAAGGAUGAUGGCGAGAUCAGUGGUGGCAACUAGAGGCCACGGCGGAGAGGAAAAAAAAAGAGAGAGGACUGGUUGCAGGAAAACCGGGCAGGAAAAGCUGAUUUUCGGGCCAACUUUGAGUUCAGUUCUCUCCUCUCUCAGAGCAUUAAAUUGGCCCCUAUUUAUAGGGAUGGAAAGAGGGUAAUCUUGUGUUCAACGGGGAAAAAGUCUCAGCCUUUGAUUCGACUCGAGGAAUCCAAGCCGUUGGUUCAAAGUGUGCACCUCGAACUGCCAAAUUUGGCAAUCCAAGGCUGCAGACUGCCCGAGGGUGCCACUUUGGGCCAAUAAACGGAGUUGUCCCCAAGUUUUUACACCCGACCGGACCACUCUACGAGAUAAAGAUGUUUCAGGGGAACAUGUUGGUGCACGCCUUGUCGGCUUUGGGGGCCAAACGAGUGAGAAAACGCGCCUGGAAAGCAGCCACUCGGGCAGCUUUGUGAGGAAGACGAUGAACAAUACCCGGGCGACGCGUCGACGGGUCCCUUCCCUCCACAAAAACGGCGCCGUUUGGGAUAAAAAUUAGGGAUUCUUGCUGAUUUUCAAUUUAGCCCUCCAGCUUUCAAUUGCUUUCAAUUUGACCCCCGGAUUUUGUCAAUUAGACCCCUAUAGUUUGGCGCCUUUUGCAAGUUGGUCCUUGUCUUUGGAUUUUGUCAAUUUAACCCCUAAUUGACCCCAAAACUUCAAUUUGCUUGCAAUUUGACCCUUGAUUUCAAUCAAUCAACUUGGUAAAAAUUAAAUUUGGUCUCUUAAAAUUCCAAUCUUCUCAAUUAAGCCCAAAUUAAGCUCCCAAACUUAAUUUUUCACCAAUUAAGCCCCAAAUAAAAUUAAUUUGACCCAUUUAAAGUAUAAUUAAGUCCUUGCACUUAAUUAAAUCCUUCAAUUGGACCCAAAUUAAUUCUUAAACAUAAUUAAAAUUCAAUUUGGCCCAUGAUUAAAUCAAAUUGGCCUAUUAAAAAUUUAAUUAUGUCCUUGGACUUAAUUUUCAUGCGAAUUCGUCCAAUAAUCAUUUAAUAUGACCUUGAAUUUGCAUUGUAUUCUUCUAAAAAUUGCAGCUUGAUUUCCCGACCUACCUUCUCCACGUUGUCAGCCUUUAUUUUAUUUUUUGAUUUUUAUUUUGAAAAAAGAAAUUGAUUUUUGGGGAAUAACCCAGAAUUGGGUUAUGACAAUGCAAAUCCUCAUUUCCAUGAUGAAUAACCAACCUUAAUCAUUUGAUAACAUCAUAAUGGUUAUCAAAAGUAAAAAAGACUAAGCUAUAAAAGUGACUUUUGAUAACCAUUAUGAUGUUAUCAGAUGAUUAAGGUUGGUUAUUCAUCAUGGAAAUGAGGAUUUGCAUUAUGACGUUAGUUAUUCAUCAUGGAAAUGUGGAUUUGCAUUAUGACUUAUGUUAAUAGAAGUCUGAUCUUUGAGGUUAACAAGGUUCUAUGUCAUUUCCUCUAUAAAGACAACAAUAGAAAACGAGUUGAUGAAUAAUUGAUGUUGAUCCUAGGUUUUUGAAACCCUCAAACACCUUUUGAGUCUUUGAAAUUCUUUUCUUUCAUAGCCAUAAACCAUAGCCUGCAUUACAUGCUUUUUAAAAGCCCUUUUUAAUCAAGCAAGCAACUUGAACCGAUAAAUGACGCUCUCAAAACUUGAAGAGUUUUUCCAUAAGAGUCGUGGCUUCAUAAAUUAAGUUACUGGUCGUUAUGCAUGUUGAUAAAAUUAUUGCUAAAAAACAAAACAUUUUUCCUUCAUGAAUCCUCAAGUUUUGACUUGAGCCUGUUGUUUUCCUUGAAAUUAACAGAAGGUCACCUCAUCGCAGACCAUCAAAAGAUAUACCUAAAAUCAGAGUUUAAAGUGGACACAAAGAACCAUGGAAAAGACCAUUUUAAUCUUACAACGGGUCGAUUUCUAUUUUCAAAAUACAAGACAAUCGAAGGACUACAUUGAAUGAUGUGUGUUGGGUCUUUGAUCAAAGAAGCUUGAAUUUCAAAAAUACUUUUCAAAAAAAAAACUGAUAUCUCUCUGAUUUCAUCUCAACAACUAGACUUUGAAUAAACAUGAUCUUUGAAAUAUGAGAUUUGAUUCUAGAACAAGAAAGAUUUUCAAACAAGAACAUCGAUGGAGUUUGCAAAAUCCUUGACAAAAAUGACAUCAACAUUUCUCGACACUCCUUGAAACGUUGACCACUUGGGGGCAAUACAAUGGACCUUAGAAAAAAACAAACAACAUUCUGAUCAGCUGGGGGCAAAGAAAGAAUCAGAUGAUGAGUCGUCAAAGUUCAUCAAAGUUAUGUUUAGCAUCUGACAAUGACAAGGAAAAACCUUCUUGAGUAUAAACCGAUGAACGAACCUUCAGAUCAUAUUGGGGGCAAUGUUGUUCAAAGACAAUCCAUGAUCUAGUGCAUUUCAGCAGCAAUUGAUGAGCAACGCUGCACUAGAAUGAUAUUUUCAUAUCUUCAUUUUGGUUUAUCAUCUUCAACAUGGUUAUGACUUUUGAUCGAUGCUAUCACUAGUUGCAUGUGCAUGAAUGCUGGAAGGAUGCACCCACCAAGACUGACUGUGGGACCAUUUGUUUUGAAGCUCAAAUGUACACUUCAUCGCAUGAAUAUGGGUGAUAACAUGAACAUCAUUGAUGAUGCCAAUACAUUUCUUUUCAAGAUCUGAUUAGAUGGAUGAGAAGAACUUUUUGAGGAAAACAUUGAGCUUACAACAAUGAGCCUUUCCCUGCAAAGUAUGAGAUGCAUGUCGGAAUGACGUGGCAGUCCCAUGAUUAUGGAUGACCAUAUAUACUUGAAUGGUGUUUCAACUGGAGGCAGUUUCAGAUUGGUUAACAAUCUUGAUGGGUGUUGGCAUGAUGCACACAAUCAAUCAAAGGAUAAUCCUCGAAAGAAUCUAGGAGAGAAAAUCCUUCAUAAUGAAUCAAGCAGCACCACACUUGGGGGCAGGGUCAAGCUUGAUGAACGAUGCGAGCAAUAAUUGUCGAAGACAGCCCGGGAUGGGCACUGCAUUUACAGCUGAGUGGAUGGCUAGCACAUGAAUGAGCCAAUACAUCGAAAGAAUAAGGAAAGCUUUGGAAUGCAAACAAAGGCACCUUGUGACGAUGAAGCAUCAAAGAGGGGGGAGCCUAUAUUUCAAAUCAGGUAAGGAUGCAUGCAUAUCAUCUAACCUAAAAAAAAAAGAAAAAAAAACAAACCAUUUGCAUAUAUUUUUGAAUUGUUACAGGAAAAUCCUUAAUGAGGUCUAGCAAGAUGGUGGAAAGAGAAAGAAGCAUUGUGGUGAUGAUAAUAAAGAAUCGGUUUUGAUCAUGGAAUAAAAGGAUGAUGGGAUGAACCCUACCAUUAGGAAAAUCCCAAAGAAAUGAAUAGAUCAAUCUUGCAAUCGGGAAGCCUCGAGUUUUCAACCCUUGUAGUCAGGAAAUACCGAUUUUCAAACCCUAUGAUCAGGAAUUAUCAGGAAGCACCAAGUUUUCCAGCCCUUCUUCUGUCAUCCCCUCAGGACUUCGCCAGGUAAGUCCUAUUUUGCACACUUCAUAUUGUUUCUAUUUUGGGUAGGUCACCCAUUACAAUGAGACCACACUUCAUAUUUUUUUUCCAUUUUUGGGUAGGUCACCCAUUAUAAUAAGACCGCACUUCAUAUUCUUUCCAUCUGGGUAGGUCACCCAUCAUAAUGAGACCGUUUUUUUCAUAUUCUUUCCACCUGGGUAGGUCACCCAUUACAAUGAGACCAUUUUUUUUUUACACAUUCUUUUGUUUUGGUUAAAUGAGAUCACCAGAUGGGAUCUCAUGUAGCUUUGGUUAAAGGGAAUCGCAAGAUGGGAUUUCAGGUUAACCGAGUUACACAUAUUUUCGUUCCAGUUGAAUGAGGUCGCCAGAUGGGAUCUCAUGUAGCUUUGGUUAAAGGGAAUCGCCAUAUGGGAUUUCAGGUUAACCGAGUUACACAUAUUUUUGUUCCAGUUGAAUGAGGUCGCCAGAUGGGAUCUCAGGUAGCUUUGGUUAAAGGGAAUCGCUAGAUGGGAUUUCAGGUUAACCGAGUUACACACAGUUUAGUUCCAGUUGAAUGAGGUCGCCAGAUGGGAUCUCAGGUAGCUUUGGUUAAAGGGAAUCACCAGAUGAGAUUUCAGGUUAACCGAGUUACACACAGUUUAGUUCCAGUUGAAUGAGGUCGCCAGAUGGGAUCUCAUGUAGCUUUGGUUAAAGGGAGUCGCCAGAUGGGAUUUCAGGUUAACCGAGUUACGCAUAUUUUGUUCCAAUUGAAUGAGAUCGCCAGAUGGGACCUCAUGUAGCUUUGGUUAAAGGGAAUCGCUAGAUGGGAUUUCAGGUUAACCGAGUUACACAAUAUUUUCGUUCCAGUUGAAUGAGUUCGCUAGAUGGGAUCUCAUUUAGCUUUGGUUAAAGGGAAUCGCUAGAUGGGAUUUCAAUUUAACCGAGCUACACACCAACUUUUGUUCUUGUUAGAUCGCCAGAUGGGAUCUCAGGUAAACCCAAUUAAAAGGGCAGGUCGCCCGGGAAAAUAGACCAAUGUGAGAGUGUGGGCCAAUCGCCCGUGGAAAUAGAUCAGAGUGAGUAUGUGCGGGCAGGUCGCCCGUGAAAAUAGACCAGAGUGAGUAUGGGUGGGCAGGUCACCCGUGAAAAUAGACCAGUGUGAGAGUGUGGGUCGGUCGCCCGUGAAAAUAGACCAGAGUGAGUAUGGGUGGGCAGGUCGCCCGUGAAAAUAGACUAGUGUGAGUGUGUGGGUCGGUCGCCCCUGAAAAUAGACCACUUUGAGUAUGUGUGGGCAGGUCACCUGUGAAAAUAAAUCAGUGUGAGUGUGUGGGCAGGCCGUCCAAGAUAAUGAAAUCAUUUUCCUUUUGUUUUCUUUACAAAGCUUACUAUGCAAAAAAAAAGGAUUUUCGCUUCGUAAGCAUUGUAAAGAGGGGGCAUCUGUUGCUACCCAAAUUUUGACCCAUGUUUUUGAUAUGUUUUUAAAAAAAUUCAAAAAUAGAGAAAAACAAAGAAAAUCCAAAAAAAUAUGUUUUUUUAAUAUAUUUUCGUCAUUUUAGCAUUUUCAACGUCGUCUAAAAAAAGAAUUUAAAUUUUUAAAAAAAUAUUUCCAAACGUGUUCGACUUUUCACGCGUCAUUUUUAAAAUAAUUGAUUUUCCUCAUUGAGUCGGCGUUGAUAUUGCUUGUUUUCAAAAAAAUACAAAAAAAUAAGAAAAAUCAAAAUUUACAAAAAAAAAAGAAGUUGAGGGACCAAGUUGAAAAAACCUAGCAACAUUUUACCUAUAAAUACUGGUUUCCUCAACACAUUCAAAAGGAGGGGGGCAAUUUUGAAAUAUCAGAAAAAGAUACAAAAAAAAAAAAAAAAAACCCUAGGAGCCUAAUUUUUUUCUCCCCUCACGAAGGCAGCCGCCGCCCCCCCCCCCACCUUUUGAUUUUUCUCUUCCCCCUGCAGCCGCUCAACCAAGCCAGCCCCUCACCUUUUUGAAUUUUUCUUCUCCCACAACCGGCAAAACAGCAGCCCCCAGCCGGUUUGAAUUUUCUUCUUCCCCUUAGCAGCCGGAUAACUCACCCCCUCACCUCACACAAACCGGCCGCCAACCACCUCUCCUUUACCCAGAGAAACCCACUGGACACAAGCCUUCUCCAGUUCUCCCCUGGAGCCGCCUCCUCCCCCUUAGCCACGGCCUCCACCGAACUCCAAACUUCCAGCCCGUAGCUGACAGAUCUGCCAUCUUCAACCUGCCGCAGACCGUCCUCUAGUAGCAGCUCCGCCACCCACCAGACCUGCCAAGAGAAGUGAAGACAGAGACCAGCGUCGUCCCCCUUUGCUUUCCCCUCUCAUCGGCCGCCUGCUUCUCCUCCCACGAUCUCUUCAUCUCCAUCGACAACGAAGCCGCCGAACAGACGACAGCAGCAGCAACCCCAACAGCACCGCCCGAAGUAGAGGCUGACCAGGGGCAAAGUCGAUCUGAAGAAGGGCGAACCGAUCUGCAGAGAAACAGAUCAAAGAGAAGCAGAUCUGAAACGAAAAGAAAAAAAUAAAAUAAAACCGAUUGUUUGUGGUGUUUGCUUGGCUUUGCAGGUGACGGUGGUCUUCACCGCCGGUGAGGAGAGGAAGAAGGAGAGAAGCCGAGCUCGACCCACCUCCUUUUUUUUGUUUGCGGCGGCGCGUGAACCCACGCGCCGCCAGUGGUGGUGGCGCGUGGGAGGACGCGCCACCACUGUUCCCGAGCACUGUUUCCGGUGCCCAGAAACCUUCUAGCACUGUUCGGGCUUCCCUGUAGUUAUUGUAGAUUUUUGGGUUUUUAUUUUGUAAUUUUUAAAAUGUAAUAUUUUUAUUUUAGUAUUGAAUUUUAUUUGUAUUUUGUAAAUAUGGAUGUAAAAGAAAAGAAAAGAAAAGAAAAAGAAAAAAGAAAAGAAACAAAAAUAGUGAAAGUGUAUGUGUGUGUUUGUAUUUGUUUUAUGAAUUUGUUAUUUUGUUUUAUUUAUUUAUUAGGAUAAAAUCGCAAAGGUAAAAGAAGAAUUUAAUAUUUUGAUCGGAUCACGCUUAAGAAUUAUUAACUUAUACAUAAGUGAUAUUUCUAAUUUUCGAUGAAAAGACAAUUAUUAAAACUAGGUGGCGACUCCAACGACCAAUCAUAGCAACAAACACAACAACGAGAAAAAUCGCCAGCCGAUGCCGCGCGGGAUUUUCAGACGUGCGACAAACCGAGCUGCACAUAUUUUUUUAUUUUGGUUUAAUGAGGUCGCCAGAUGGGAUCUCAUGUAGCUUUGGUUAAAGGGGAUUGCCAGAUGGGAUUUCAGGUUAACCGAGCUACAUAUAUUUUUUGGUUUUGGUUUAAUGAGGUUGCUAGAUGGGAUCUAAAGUAGCUUUGGUGAAAGGGAAUCGCCAGAUGGGAUUUCAGGUUGACCGAGCUACCCAUAUUUUUUAGUUCUAGUUUAAUGAGGUCACCAGAUGGGAUCUCAGGUGGCUUUGGUUAAAGGGAAUCGCCCGAUGAGAUUUCAGGUUGAUCGAGCUCCACGUAUUUUUUUUAGUUCCAGUUGAAUGAGGUCGCUAGAUGGGAUCUCAUGUGGCUUUGGUUAAAAGGAAUUGCUAGAUGGGAUUUCAGGUUGACCGAGCUACACACAUUCUUUGGUUUUGGUAAAGGAGGUCGCCAGAUGGGAUUCAGGUUAACGGAAAAGAGAGAGAGAGAGAGAGAGAGAGAGAGAGAGAGAGAAAAGACAAGAAAAAGAAACAGGAAAAAAAAAGAGAGUAAGGUCUUUAGAUGAAUGGAUAUUGAGCAAGUUAAGCAGACGGAAAGAUAAGUUUUCUUUACAAAGCUUACUAUGCAAAACAUUGAGGAGUUUUGCUUCGUAAGCAUUGUAAAGAGGGGGCAUCUGUUGCUACCCAAUUUUUUACCCGUGUUUUGAUAAAUUUUCAGAAAAAAAAUCCAAAAAUAGCGAAAAACAUCGAAAAUCCAAAAAAAUAUGUUUUUUAAUAUAUUUUUAUUAUUUUAGCAUUUUCAACGUUGUCUAAAAUGAAUGUAAAUUUUUAAGGGUCUUUCGAACGCGUUCGACUUUUCACGCGUUAUUUUUAAAAUCAUUGAUUUUCCUCAUCAAGUCGACAUUGAUAUUGCUCUUUUUAAAAAAAUACAAAAAAAAUAAGAAAAAAUCAAAAUUUACAAAAAAAAAAGUUGAGGGACCAAGUUUGGAAACCUAGCAAUAUAUUUAUCUAUAAAUAAGAGUUUCCAACACUUGCACAUGGGUGGUAAUUUUGAAUGAAAAAUACAAAAAGAAAAAAAAGAAAACCUAUCUAACCCAAACAUUCACCCCCCACCCGGCUUUGAUUUUUUCUCUGAAACCAGCCGCCCCACUCCCAUUCACAGAUACAAACUAGCCGGCGGCGCCCCCCCUGGAUUUGGUUUCUUCUUCCUUCAGCCAGAGGUCCCCAGUUUCCUUCCCCUGCCAUCUCACCCUCAACCCACUCUCCCAAAACCGGAGCAGCCACUCCGUUCCCCCAAGCCACAUAUCUUUCCUCUCUCACCUGAACACCCACCAGAACCACAAAAGCCAGCCCUCGCCCACUUCCCCUCUCAACCGAACCGUUUCCCCCGUCUCCAUCGACCAGCCUUCCAGAGGCUGCCAUAAAGAGUCUUUCCUUGUCAACUCUAACAUUGUCGUCGUUAUUGUUGACGAUGAUGCUGCUCAACACAAAACGUUGCGGUGCUAGUAUUUCACUGCUGGAAAUGGACGAUGACGUCCCCUUGUACUCCAUAGCUGAUUCCAACUUAGAUUUGGAGUUCAUGAUGGAUUCCGAAAUUAAACAGGAUUCUCCUUGGCUCUCGUCGUGUUGGAGAUGGUGCUCUCAAUCCAGAUAAACAAGCAUUUGGUUGCAGGCGAGAUAAUCGAUAUGCGUGCCUAAAGAUUCUAAUAAUAUGUAAGCUGCGUAUAUUAGAAAUAUUAUUUAAAAAUAAAUAUUUUUAUUUUUAAAAAUAAAAUUUAUCUAUACAAAGAUUAAAAAAUAUAUAUAGAUAAAUCAGAAAAAUUAACCUCCUCAAAAAUUAAAUGUAUAAUUCAAAAAUAACUGUUAUUUCAAAGAGGCUCUCUAAAUAACAUAAAAAAAAGAGGUAUUAAUCUAAAAAUAAAUAAAAUACAUAUAAAAAAUACAUAUAAAAAAGAAUUAAUUUUUAAAAAAAAAACACAAAAAAUAAAAACAAAAACAAAAACAAAAAAAAGGCACUGUUGCACCUAGCAAGCCAGGUAAGCCUGCUUGGCUUAUUUUGUUAGGUUCCAUGCAUGUUGAAAUUUUUUUUUGUUGCAAAUUGUUUAUGAAAAAAAAUAAGAUGAUGCAUCACCUGUGGGAUAUUUUUUCUCUCUUACAAAAACAGUAUACAUGCAUGCUUUUUCGAUGCAUUUUUUACAUAAAAAAAUUAAAAUUUUAAAUUAAAAAGCUAAUGCAUACAUGUAAUCAAAUAAAUCAACAACUAAAUGAAUUAACAAUCGUAAAAAAAAGGUAUUGAUGAUACCUAAAAAUAAAAUUAGAAGAUUCAGAUGUGUUAAUAAACGAAAUAUUUACCCGGAUGUGUUUUUUGAAUUUGUUUAUUAAAAUUAAUAUUUUUAUUCAAUCAAAUAAUAUUAAAAAUAAACACAUAUAUUAAAUUUAUUAAAUAAAAUAAAAGUGAAAAAAAAAAAUUAUGCAAGGCUAUACAUAUUAUGUUAUCCUUAAAUAAAUAUUUUAUAUUUUUAAAAUAAAAUUCUUUUAUACAAAAAGAUAAAAGAAAAAAUUGUUGAUUAAUUAGAAUGAGUUUUUCAAAAAUUAAAUACGAACAACACUAUAAAAAAAUAAUCUCUAUCCAAAAAAAAAAAUCAACAAAAAAAAACCCACAAAUGAGGGAUAUUAAUUAAAACAUAAAUUCUAAAAAAUAUUUAAAAAAAGACACAUAAAAAAUACCAAUAGAAAAAAAUAAUAACAUAAAAAAAAAAUUGUUUGGUUGUUGUGCCUUAACUCGUUAGACUCAUGACCUAAACAAUAAAUUUAACUCAAUUAGGUUCAAUAGUUUUUCCCUUUAAAUAUAUAAUCAACUUGUAACAUAAAAAAAUUAAACCCGUGACCCGGAUCAUAAACUCAACCGGGCUUAAUAUUUUUUUCUAUUAAAUUUUAGAAAAAAAAUAAACCCUUUACCCAGACCAUAAACUCAAUUGGAUUUAAUAAAUUGUUUUCCUUUAAGUUUAUAUUCUACCUCUAAAAAAAAAUUAAAAACAUAAAACACGAUUAAAAAAAAAUUUAUAUCCAAAAUAAAUAAAAAAAUAAAAAAAAAUCACAGAUAAGUGAUAUUAAUUGAAACAUAAAUUUAAAUUAUUUAAAAACAUAUAUUUAUAUAUAAAAAAGACACCAAUAAAAAAAGGUAAUAUUAAAAAAAAAUCCAAUUAUUAUGGCUUAACUCAUUAAAUCCAUGUUUGAAUUUAUAAACUUGAAUUCAAUAUUUUUUCUUUUGAAUUUAUAUUUAACUUUUAAAAAAAAAAAAAUAAAUAAACACGUGAUCCGGAUCUACAUCUGAAACAGGUAAAGUAUAGUGCUGUUGAUCCACGCUAGCAUGGAAUUGAUCUCUUGUGAUGUCAUUUAAUUAAUUUCAUGUAUAGGAAAAUAUGAGCUAACCAGUCAAGCUUUGCCACAUUCCUCACCUUUCUUAGCUGCUUGCUUGUAUAUUUGAUUAGAUAGACAGCAUUAAGAAGAGCUAGCUAAAACUAAGAGGGAUCCGAUGAAGAGCCUUUCCUUUUCAGCUCUAACAUUGUCGUCGUUGUUGUUGACGAUGAUGCUGCUCAACACAAAAAGUUGCGGUGCUAGUAUUUCACUGCCGGAAAUGGAGGGUGACGUCCCCUUGUACUCCAUAGCUGAUUCCAACUUAGAUUUGGAGUUCAUGAUGGAUUCUGAAAUUAACAGGAUUCUUAUUACGAUGCUGUCAACAAAAAUUUUCACAUUUUGAUCAACAAAAAUUAACAGGACUCUUCUGUUUAUCUACAUUCAUCAUAAAAAAUAAAAAUAUCUAACCCGUACGUAGCGACGUAUAUUAAUAGCUGAUCUAGAACACUGUUUAGAACCUUUCGUUUUAGAGCACACUAGUUAAAUGACCCGCGCGAUGCCGCGGGUCAAUUAUUUUUUACAUUUAAAAAAAAAACUAAGAUUUAAAAUUGUUAGGUUUUUUUAUAAAGUUAUACUCAAGAGUUUUAUGUUUAGUUGCAACACCUAACCCAAUAGUAACAUCUAUGAUAUUAAUAAUAAUAUUAAAUUUGCAUGACCCAAAUUUAAGUGGAUUUGGCUGCAAUAUCAGACCCAAUAGUAUUGGAUGUGGGUCUGGUUGCAAGGUCGUAUGAUAAAAGUGUAAUAAUUAAAUUGAUUAAUUAAAAAUAAAAAAACAAAGAAAAAAAACCAAUAGGAAAAAAAAACUAAUGAAGAAAAAGAAAAAAAAUAUGAAUUAACUGGGUUAAACCGUCAAACCUUAGAUUCGCGUCGUAAAAGUUUGAUAACUAAACAGAAAAAAAAAAUUAAUGGGUUAACCCAGAAUUAAUUGGGCUAACUCGUCAAACCAGGUUAACCCGUCAAACCCGGAAUCCGUGUCAUGAAAGUUUGAUAACUAAAUAGUAAAAAAUUUAACAUUAACAGUUUAUUAAACAAAAAAAAUUAAUUAAAAUAAAAAAAUAAAAGACAUCAGCCUUUUCAUUGUGGACUGCACUAUGUAGUCCAUAGUUAAAGACAUAAAAAAAAAAAAAAACUAAAGGCAUCAGCCGAGAACUACAUAGAAAAAAAUUUGAUAUAAAUUAAAUAAAAUUAAUUAAAAAUAAAAAAAACCUCUAUGAAGUAAAAAAAAAAUAGAAAGAAAUUUAACAUUAACAAACUAAACGAAACGAAAAAAAAUAAUUAAAAAAAAAGCAAAAAAAAAAUUCAAGUUAACUCGUCAAACCAGGUUAACCCAUUAAACCCGGGAUCUUUGUCAUGAAUGUCUGAUAACUAAAUAAAAAAAGUGAACGUUAACAAAUUGAACUAAAUGAAAAAAAAUAAUUAAAUAGAAAAAAUCUGAGUUAACUCGUCAAAUCAUGUUAACUCGUUAAACUCAGGAUCUGUGUCAUGAAAGUAUGAUAACUAAAUAAAAAAAAUUAAUAUUAACACACUAAAUUAACUAAAAAAAAUUAUGAAAAUAAAAAAAUAAAAAAAUUGACAGGUCAACCUAGAAUUAACUGGGUUCAUUCGUGAAACCAGGUUAACCCGUUAAACUCAAAAUAUGUGUCAUGAACGCCAGAUAACUAAAUAGAAAUAAAUUUAAUAUUAACAAACUAAACUAAACAAAAUAAAGUAAUUAAAAGGAUAAAAAAAAGUAAAAAAAAUCUGAAUUAACUUGUCAAAACAGAUUAACCCGUUAAAUUCGAAAACGUUUAAUGAAAGUUUAAUAACUAAAUAAAAUAAAUUAAAUAUUAAUAAAGUAAAUUAAUCAAAAAAAAUUUAAAAAGAUAAAAAAAAAAAGCAAAAAAAAAUAAUCCCAAAAUGCAUAAAAAAAUAACACAACUUAAAAAAAAAAAAAAAAAAACUUGUUUUCUUCUACGAAACCCUCACCGCCUAUCCCUAUACUACGUUAACCUAACUGGAGUUAGCGUGGGCCGGAUCAAAGUACCAAUUCCCUCUGAACAACUUGUUUUUGACCCAAAUACCAGAGCAGGGACCAUAAUCGACUCCGGUACAGUCAUAACCCGAUUUGUCCAACCCGUUUACUUUGCCACAGUAAACGUAAGGCCUAGGGAUCAGUGUUUUACUGUGGACUGCACUGUGCAGUCCACAGUAAAACACUGAUCCCUUUUAGUAUAUGUUACAAUUACAAUUACAGUGCCUUUCGUUUUGUCAAGAGAAAUUAAUUGUAUAGUGCUGUUGAUCCACUCAAUUAGAGCAUGAAAGGGAUCUCUCGUGAUGUCAUUUUUUAUGUAUGAGCUAACCAAUCCAGCGUUGCCACAUUCCUCGAUCAUCUUAUCACCUUCAACACCGCCGAUCACUGCCACCCUAUCCCAUAUAUACAGAGUUAGCUGCUCGCUUUUAUCAUAGAUUAGCAUUGAAAGAGCUAGCGAAACAUAAGAGAGAUACUAUGAAGAGUCUUUCCUUGUCCGCUCUAACAUUGUCGUUGUUGUUGACGAUGAUACUGCUCAACACAAAAAGUUGCGGUGCUAGUAUUUCACUGCCGGAAAUGGAGGGUGACGUCCCCUCCUACUCCAUAGCUGAUUCCAUCUUAGAUUUGGAGUUCAUGAUGGAUUCUGAAAUUAACAGGAUUCUUAAUGCCGACUCUCUCAGGAAAGCAUAAGAUGCUGUCCACAAGAAGGGAGCAGUGUUUGGUGACGGCCCACAUCGAUACAGCUUGUUUCGUUGCGGCCGAGGCAACCGAUAUUGCGUUCCUCAUGGUCGUUUUAAAGAGAACUGCAUGUCGGUGUACAAACGCACCUGCUAGUUUCAUUAAUCUACUAGCAGUUAUUCCAUGCCCAUGCGUGAUGGAGGGAGGUCUCUCUCUAAUAUGUACUCUUUUUUUUAGGGAGUUUGUUAAAUUCCCUUACUACUACUGUUAUUAUUAUCUGUUGGAUCGAGUGGGUCUUGUAUUGAACCAUUUAACUCUCAUGCUAGAAUAAAUUCGCGUUAAACUUUAAAUUACGUUAAUUGUGGUCGAGAAUUCAAUCUCGUACCCCUUGUUAUAUAUAUAUAUAUAUAUAUAUGGAUAAGGUUUUGGUUUUGAAUUUCUUUAAUUUUGUCUUUAACUAACCCUUAAACUUUGAUUUGCUUGCAAUUUCACCCCUGAUUUCAUCCGAUUAAUCUUGUAAAAAUUAAGUCUGGUCUUUCAAAAUUUCAAUCUUUUCAAUUAAGCUUUCAAACUUAGUUUUUCAUUAAUUAAGUCCUCGGUAAAAUUAAGUUGACCUAUUAAAAGUUUAAUUAAGUCCUUGCACUUAAUUAAUUCUUUUAAUUUUGAUCUAACUUAAUUUAUAAACUUAAUUCAACAUUUAAUUAGACCUAUGAUUAAAUCAAAUUAACUUAAUAAAAAUCUAAUUAGGUUCUUAGACCUAAUUUUUAUGUAAAUGUUUCCAAUAUUCAUUUAAGUUAGCCUUGAAUUUGCAUUACUUUUCAUAUUUAGAUCUUUAAAGGGUGCAAUUGAGUUUCUAAAAAGUUUCAAAGAUCCAGUUUGGUCCCUCCAUCUCUUAUGUAUACAUGUAGAUCCCUCUUUUUUAUAUUUGUAUAAAAUAAAAGAUAAUUUUGUUUUUAUGCCAGAUUCAGUUCUUAUUUUUUUAUUGUUAUUUUGUUUUGUUUUUCUAAUUUUAGAUUAUUAGAGAUUUUGCUUGGUAUUUUUUAGAGUUUCCAUUCUAUGGUUUAAUCCUAGUCUCAUGACUCAGGUCACUAGUUUUGAAGAUUAGCUCGAUUUAAUUUUGAUAUUUUUUAUGUGCUUUUCUUAAAAUUAAUUAUUUUCCAAUUUUAUCAUUUAACUUUAGGAUAUUGGGCUUUGAGUUUCAUGGUUGUUUUCAUUUUAUUUUUUUAUGGAGUUAUCUUGAUCUCUUAUCCUAGGUCAUAGGUUUGUUGGGUGAACCCAGGUUCAUUCGAGUUUUUUUUCUUAUUUAUUUAUUUUUAUGUUAUCCUUUGACAUUAAGUUAUUGAGUCUUGAGCUUCGUUAUAUUUUCCACUUUCCUUUAUGUGGGUUUCUCUCUAUCUCAUAUCACAGGUCUUAGUCUUUUUAUGAUUUUUUUUAUUCUUUUUUAUUUCAUCAUUUGAAAUUAUAUUAUUGGACCUUGAGAUUUAUGAUUUUUUUUUCAUUUUUCUUUCUAUAGGGUUAUCCUAGGUCGCAGGUUUGUCAAGUUAACACAAGUUGACUUUGGUUUUUUUUUCAAUAUUCCUUUUAUUUUACUUUGGUUUUUAUUUUUCUAUCCCAAUCACAUUUUACGAGUUGCGAGUUAGCCAAGUGAACCUCGGCUGACUCAAUUUGUUUUUUUUAAAUGAUUUGUUAUUUCAAUUUAAUUCUUUGGCAUUAGAUUGUUGGGCUAUCAUCUUAGUGAUUUUUUCACUUUUCUUUAUAUAUGGUUGACCAGACUCACAAGUUUGUCAAGUUAACUCGGGUGGACUUAAUUGUUUUCUUGGCAUUUUAUUUAUUGAUUUAACUUUGGUCCCUUUUUAAGUUUUUUUAAAUUAUUUUUUUAUUAUGAUCUCAUGUCGAGGGUAGCGGGUAUUUGGGUGAGCCCAGGCUGACUCGUGGACGUUUCUAUUUUUGAAUUUUAUUUUUUGAGUUUCAUCUUUUGACAUUAGAUUACGAGGCCUUGAGUUUUAUUUUUUUUUUCGUUUCUUUUCUAUAGCAUUAUCCUAAACUUUUAUCAUGGAUCAUGGGUUAGUCAAGUUAACCAAACUUGACUUCGAUUAUCAUUGCCUGAUUUUUUUUUUUUUCAUAUGUGAUGUAACGUAGGUCACCGUACUAGUAAAAUAAAAGAAAGAAAUGAGUACCAAAUUCUUUUAUUUGUCAUGCAUAUAUAUAUAUAUAUUGGAGAACAUAUUGAUGAUUGACACGACCAAAAGAUUGAUGUCUUCUUCCAAGUGCAGGAGUAUCGAAGUAAUAAAUAACCCGACAAGACUGGGAUCGAACCACAAGGAGGUUAACAAUAUAAAUUAUAAAUAACAACAACAACAAUAACAAUAAUAAUAAGAUAAAGAGAGCUUUGGAAUGUGAUAUUGAUGUAAGGAUUAAACAAGCAUAAAAUAAUUGUCAAGGUUAGAGGAUCCACUAAUGGUACUUCAAACAAGUAUAAUAUAAAUUCUUUUUAUUACUCAACUGGAAACCACACACAAAGGAGGCUCCAAUCGGAUUGUAAAUUGUUAACAUGAUUACAUUAGUUAUCUUAUUCGAAUAAUGCUAAUACUUGUAAAUCUUGUCAAGCAUUCAUGAUUAUAACUUAUGUUAACAACAAAUCAAGUUUCUUUCAUAGCUCAAGUGCCGGUUAUACCAUACAGUAUGGGCUAUGAAAGUGCCAAGUAUUUGUUGUACCAAGUGUUAUACAACAUAAAUCUAGAUUAACCAUUUAACAAGCAAAGUAUUAAAAGUAAACAAGAUAACAAAUAUAAAACAUGUUAGUAUCCAACAUUAAGGUCCAUGUUAAGUUUAUAUUAUACUUAUUCUUACACCAUUAGUGUACCCUUUUCACCUUGACAUAAUUAACUUAGCUAAACAUAAUGAAAGAAAGAAACAUAAAUAAACAAGAUAAGAACAUAAAUGAGAAGAACAUAAAUGAGAAAGGAGUUAACUAAACAAAGGAAAGGAAAUGAAGUGCAUAAACUUCAUAUUAAUGAAAGCAAAACAUAAGCAAUACAAAGAGAGAAAGCAAGAGCAUGAUCUUGAUCUGGAAAACCAAGAUGCCUAAAUGCAUGGCAAAUGCCUCCUUUUAUAGGCCAAAAUUUGGAACUAUUGAUUUGAUGAAUAAUUGUUGAGUGGGUGGCCACAUCUUGACUUGGUGAAAAUCCUUAUCUUCUUGUCUGAAUAAAACGUCAUUGCUAACAUCAGAACUGGAACCAUAUGAAAUCAUGAAAGUUCCAGGAAAUUCUCUUAGCUUUCCAAGAAAAAAAAGAUGAGGUCAUUUGGACUUCUAGAACUCAAGAUAUAGCCUGAACACUGAACAGUGUCUGGGCUGCAGGACAGCUUCGGACUUCUCCGUUGUUGCUAUAAUUUGGACUUAAAAACGGCAUUCUUAGAUCUUGAUGUUCACAUGAAAGUUGUAGACCUAUGUCUCACCAAAUCUGUGUAAAAAUUUGAAAUCAUUUGGACAUCUAGAACUCGAGAUAUGAACCAAAUACCGAAUAGUAUUCCAGUUUGGACUGCACCAACAUCUCUUUUCUAAGCUUCACCCUUCUUUAUCUUCAAAUUUUAGUAGUUGAAUUCAUCAAUCAAUCCUUUGAUUUAUGUGAUAAGCCUGCAUUUAAGAUGAACAUUUACCAUAUAUUAAGGCAUUUUAUAGUAUCACACUUGUUAUUAUAAAACAUACUUUAGUUAAGGAGUUAUUGAUACUUCAAGUGCAAAAUGAUGAUAUAAAACCUUAAUAAACAUGCACUUUUAAGUACUAAUCAAUGAUUAAUAAAAGUAUAAAAUUAGAUUAAUUUAAGUAUUAUUAUUUUAGUUAUAUAAAUAUUACAUAAAUUUUGAUGUCAUUCAUCCACUCCAAAAAAAAAAAACCUAAAAUCUUGGAAGAGAUUAGAAAGGGAGAUAUACAGAGGAGAGGAGAUUAAUCAAAUACUUUGAAAGUGAUCCAAACGAUUGAUGUAAUCGAAUUUGUUGUAAUUAAUAAAGGUUAUGAGCAUUCAGAUCAAUAUAAUAUAUAAUUAAAUUAAAAUUUUAUAUAACUAGAUAGAGAUUUGAACUAAAUACACAAUAUCGAAGGCCUUACAUAUGCUUUUAUGAACCAGUAAGACACGUCUAGAUUUAAGAGGUUUUAUCGCGUUAAAUUGGAUUAACACAUUAAAACUGCAUCUCUUAUCAUAUUGUUGAAUCUUUUAGGAUUAGGAAUCAAGCCUGGAUGUUGUUGUUUGGGUCAAUUUUGUUAUUUUUAAUUUAUUAUUUAAUUUGAUUUUUUAUUUUAAUUUCCUUUGUGCUUUUGGAUUUCUAGUUUUUUUUAAUCUAUGUAUAAGUCUUGUAAACAUCUAAAAAAACAGACUUUAUUGGUUUUAUUUUCAUAUAAAUAAAUUAUAAAUUUAUGCUUCAUAUCUUGAUUCUUUUUCCAAGAUUAAAUUUAUUCUUAUAGUUCUUGCCUGCGUCAACCAUGCUUCGAGUUGGCUAAUUAUUAUUAUUUAUUUCAUAUUAAGUAUAAACAGGUAGUGAAAGGGAAAUUAAGAAUUAUGCAGAAUUGAACAAAAAAAUUAACAUAAGUCAAUUUUUAAAAUAGGAUGCCCACUCCGGCGUGAAAAAUGGAAUAUUAAAGGCAUAUACAUGUUGAUGUUGUUGGCAAAGUUCCAAGCCUUUGGCAAAGUUCAUGGUAUUGUACUUUAUUAUCAAACAAGUAGAUAGAUGAGGAUGAUUUUCGUUAAAAACUCAUUCUAUAAAACUGGGAAAAACAAUUACGAUGCUUAUUUCUUGCAUUGUAACAAAUAUUAUUUUAAAGGAUCCAUAUUUCAAUGUUAUGAUUUUUUACUACUGAAUGAAAAUAUUGAUCUAUUAAUACUAAAUAAACAUAAAGUGAAAACGUUAUUUAUUUUCAAUCAUCAUAAUUAAUAUUCUUUAUCCAACCAGAACCAAAUAUUAAAAAAGAGAAAAAUCAUUGUGAGGGAUAGUAACAAAAGUCAACAUGCAACCAUAAUUUCAAGAUAUUACAAAAUAAUAAUAAAAAAAAAGCUUGGUUUUUCACUAUGCAUACACUCAUAUUUCAUCAUUGUAAAACUAUUAUUUUUCUCUUAAGAGAAAAACUCAUUCUCUAGGUAUAUUAGAUUUAUUAGUUAUUAUCAUUUUGAAUGGGUGUAAGCAAGUUUUUUUACAUGUCAAAUGAAUAGUGUAAUAGCUUACAUACCCUUAAAAGUAUAUAAAAAAAAAAUCAGGAGAAGGAAUUUCUAGUCUUUUUGCACUUUGAAUGCAUAGUGAAAGAACCAUUUUGUCUUUGUAAGAGAACUCAUGUUUAGGGGCACUUAAGGCCUUUUCAACAUGGUUAUUUUAUAUAUAUAUAUAUAUAUAUAUAUAUAUAUCUUUUUGGAUGGGAGGAAAUUAAGUUUUGAGCAUAUAUAAAAUUAAUUUUAAAAAAGGUGAUUGGUGUAUGUCAUGCACGUUCCAGCAAUUAAGAGACAUUCACGUUUUUUAAACGACGCGUGUAGCACUUCCAAUAAUCAAAUGUUGUUGUCCGUUACAGUAACUGAAGCAGAGCAUCAUUCUUUUUGCAAUGGUAGGGCACAUGUUCAUGAUGGAAAUGAGGGCUCCAAUGAAUUUUAUUUUUUAUCCUCUCUCUUUUCUUUUUCCUAACCUCAAAGGUCAAAGGCAACAAAUUGAUUCGCAGAACUGGAAGGCCAGAAGUUUAAGCCCCAUGGAGGGACCAUCAAGGGCAGCUAAAUCUUCCUUGGAAUGUGGCUUUUCUUUUACUUGCAGUCGACAAACAAGUGAAUUUAUGUCUGUCACAAUGAAAAUAAAUGCAUUGCUGAUUGAAACCAGAGAGAACGAAACUUUCCCAAUUAUUCUCAAAAAAGUUGAAUUUACCCAAAUCAGUACAAACAAAAAUAUUUUGUUUCAUACAUAUGACCAAAUACUAAAAUGUUUUCCAUGCAUAUUUUCAUUAAAAUUUUUGGUUUUUUCUCAUGUUUUAAAAUGUAAAUUGGAUAUUGUAACCAGUUUAUGAUUAUCUAUUAGGAUUUAGCCAACAUGUCAAAAUUAGCCUCCUUACAAAUCAUUUUUUUUAGGGAUUUUGAUGUAGAAUUUAGUAUCUGAAAGUGUAAAACUGUACAGUAAAGUACACUCUCAAGAACUAAAGAUACAAGGUGUAAAAUAAAUGCGAUAUUAAAAUUUUAAAUUUUAAAAUGAUUAGAAUUUAAGCUCAUAAAAUAAAGAUACAAGGUGUGGAGACUAAAUUACACAUUUUUAGUAUCCUAUGUUCAUAGUGAUAAGAGUGGUGAUGUUGCGGCUGAGUGGCCAACUAACAUGAAAAAUUGGUUCCAGUUAAUGCUGAAUAUGCAGAGUACUGCAAUAAAAUCAUUCUAUCAGACACACUAAUUAUCACUACCAAAAUUAUUCAAACAAGGAACGCAUAUAUAUGCAUCGAUAGGUAUUUCAGCUAGAAACCUUUGUCUUGAGGCCUAUACUAACGCAGCAUGCUAACUAGCUUGCUUCUCAUCGCCCCUUUGGGUUCAUGAUCUCGGAGAACACAGCACCAGACAUCAUUUUCUCCGACUCGUUGCUUAGAAAACUUUGUCCGUCGCUGCUGCUUGUUGUUGCCAUUUCCAAAAUGCGGGAAUUCACAACUAGUUCACUGCCAGUACUAAACAAAUCACUGCUGUCAUCGAUUGAGGAGCCUUUCAGAGGAGUCUCCAUGUCAACUUCUUUCUCAGUUUGAGCCACUUUGACAUUCUCUUCCGCGCUCUCUUGCAGUUGUAAUGCAAACUCAAGGCCCCAAACCACAUCCGUCAUCGAUGGCCUUUCGAUUCCAUUCUCGAGCAAGCAUCUCACUGCAACAUCAACAAAGUUUUUCAGACAAUCUGGUGAGAUCUUUCCAUCCAGAUACGGAUCAAUGAUUUCAUUAAUCGUUCCGUUGCUGUGGCUUUGUCUAGCCAACUCUGCUAGACUUGCUGGCACUGCUGAUCGGUUUAUUGCUGGUCUAGCACACAAUACCUCGAACAACACAACCCCAAAUGAGUAGACAUCAGAUUUUUCUGUCAAUUGUUGGCGUUGACAAUAUUCGGGAUCCAAGUACCCUAUGCUACCUUUCACAAUGGUGCUCACGUGGCCCUUCGAUGUGCUCGUAGGGCCUGUUUUGGACAAUCCGAAAUCCGAAACUUUGGCCACCCAUUUCUCAUCCAGCAAGAUAUUUGUUGUCUUCACAUCACGAUGAAUGACAGUGUGCUUGGCACCUGUGUGAAGGUAAUCCAACCCACGGGCAGCACCGAUGCAAAUCUCUAGGCGUUGACUCCAUGAAAGUGGAGGAUUAUCAGUUCUGUAGAGAUGAUCACGAAGCGUCCCCCGAGCCAUAUAAUCAUACACCAGGAUCAUCUCAUUAUUCUCAUUACAGUAACCAAUUAGAGAAACCAAAUGGCGGAAUCUAAGCUGGGAGAGCAUCUCAAUCUCUGUCCUGAACUCGGUUGCACCCUGCCGGGAACUUGGAUUCAAUCGCUUGAUCGCAGCACGAUUGACUCCACCAUCAAAUAAUCCUUUGUACACGUUACCGAAGCCACCAACACCAAUAAUGAAUGAAUCGUCGAAGUUGUUUGUAGCUGCUAUGAUCUCAACUAGCGAGAAACGGUAGCAUAGAUCAGAAGGUAGAGAAGGCCUAUGGGUCUUUGUUGACUUUCUUGAAGAGGAAACAAGAGGGCUUAAGUUUGAAGCUGCAUCACCAGAUACCAGGUCCUUGAAUUUUUGGACUCUUCUCCGGAAAAUCAAGAGAAAUAGAACUGAGAAGACAACAAUGCCCGAAACAGCAGCACCAAUAAUGGCGACUGUUCUUCUUCGACUUUGCUUUGGCUUUGUUGAGGUCGCGCUAGGAGUAUUACUAACGGGGCUGUCCGGAUACGCGUCAGGAUUUGGUCCGGCAAGAUUGUCUGAUUUGCUCAAUUUGAAGAUUUCAGCUCCAUUCAACAUUGCAUCAAAGGCAUUAGUAGACUGAAUAGGGUGCAAUGCAAUUGAUAAAUUCUGUAUCCCUUCGUUUCCUCCGGCAUUCAUCAUCACUACGUAAUCUUUGUAUAUGGGAACCCCAUAUCCAGCAGCCCAAGAGAUUAUAUCUGCGUAACGCUCUGCCGUUUGAUUAGCGAUAUAUAUUUUAAAGACUAGAUCGCCCUUUUGCAAUAUAAUCGGUAUAAACUGACAGAAAUGAAGCCUAACAAGAUAGGUGAAUGUGGAGUGGACCGGAAACUCCCAAGUCAUAUUGUAUUUCUUAUUUAUAGUAGAAUCGGGCCCCAUGGUCCUAGCAGUUCGAUAGAGUACGUCAGGUGCAGCAUAGCGAGUGUGGUUAUUAUACUGAAGUUGAAUAGUGCCAUUAAAUUGAAAAGCGCUUGGUCGAGCAUCCGUCAAGUAAUCGACAUCGCUUAACCAACUUCGAAACAUGCCAUUGUCGUUGGGCGGUG